Molecule: long non-coding RNA, 57101 nt
Filed under: Solanum tuberosum (potato)
Lineage: Eukaryota; Viridiplantae; Streptophyta; Magnoliopsida; Solanales; Solanaceae
Description: long non-coding RNA (STUB_LNC005974)
Rfam family: tRNA (bases 43603-43675)
Source: RNAcentral
CCCCAAUUUUUUUUUUUUUUUUUUUUUUUUUUUUUUUGGUUAGGUAGUGAAAGUCAUCUAUUCAGACUGUUCAGUGUGAAUAUAGGUAAACUAUAGGUUACCUAUAGAAAGAGUUGAAGAAAAUUAAUUAGUUCUAUUUUCAGCUAAUUGAAUAAUUAAUUUUUUUGGAAUUAUUUGUUGGUAUUCUUGUUGGUAGUUACUAUUACUUAUCAUCUUUUUAUUAUUGUUAUAUUAGGUUUGAAGAAAAUGACUUGUAUUAAUAGAGAGGUUAUUAAUGGAUAAAGGAUUUAGGUCCAUUAGUUUUUAUUAAAAUUAACAUGUCUGAAUCUAAAAUAAGAUGUGUAUUAAGAUAAAGUCGUUUGAAAUAUAACGAUAACAUCUUAGUUAUGCCUAGAGGUUCAUUUUUUAUGGAGGCAAUCAAUACAACAAUAACAUACUCAAUAUAUUCUUACAAGUGGAGUGCGGGAAGAAUGAGAUGUAUGUUGAUUUUAUUCCUACUUUUGUAAGGUGGAGAAAUUGUUUUCGAUAGAUACAUAUUUCUCUAAUAUGAGUAAUAUGUAACAUAGUGAUUGUGGUCAAUCCAUAUAUAUAAUUUUAUUUUUUCUUAAAAUGAUGGUCAAAAUAAUGUCAAUUUUUAUGAUGAUAGAACUCAUACAGGAUCUCCAAAAGGCAAUGAUCUCCCUUGGCUUCUAAGUGAAGGGUGGUCAUGAAUGAUCUGAUAUAAUUGUUUUCACAUUUUAUAUAUUGACAAGGACUUAAUUAUAUAUUCACGGGUGAGGAUUGCUGAAAACUAUAUAAAAAGAUCAAAUAUUGUUCUCAUAACUGAUGUCGAACUUCUAACGUCCUCUGGCACAAGCAAAAUUGGGUAUAUGGAGCAGGGAUAUAACAUAAGGAUUCAACAUCGGGUAAAUCAAGAAUUAGAAUGAAUCUGACUCUAAUACCAUUUUAAGACCUAACUCAAAUCCAAAAGUUACCAAGUAUAUUUCUACUGCAAAUAUCAGUGCAUAAAGUAAACCGAAUUCGUGCUGAAAUAUCCCACUUUGAAGAUAAAAUACUCUCCAUCAAAGGCAACUCUAUUCCGAUGCUCAAACCCAAGACAUCUAGUAAUAGACGGAGGGAUACCUACGACUCCACCACAAUGGUAACUCUAUUAUCAAAAUGAAAGUAUAUAGUGUAAAGAAAUUAGGUAAAUCCAGUACCAACUGUGACUUGUUUAAAGGGCUGAGGAGUUGGAGUGUGAUUUGAGAUUUUAGGUAAUACUUCAACUUCAUUUUUAGUUUACACUUGUUUGAUACCAACUCCCCACCUACCCUAAUAUUUACAUGGAGUAGGUGAUUCCCAUUGACAUAACAAGAUUUAGGAUCUCAAAUAUAAUUUGCCAAAAAAAAUUUUUACAUGAUUAUUUCAGUUUCACUACUUAUUACUUUAUCCUAAUUGCUUCCAAAAAAAAACAAUCUUUUGAAGAGCUUUUUCUAUCACAAACUCAUGGUUGUAAAUGUUUGUCACUCCCUGGAAUACUCUGAGAUUUAGAGUUGAUGUUGUCUUGACAUCCAUACAAGAAACUAAUGACUUUGAAUCGCCAUUGUUCUGAAGGCCUAACGAGUUCCUUCUUUCUCAAAGGCCGUCAUGUAAAGCUUUCCUCAUAACAAUGACUCGCUUGUUUAGUACUGCUAACUAUCAUAGAAAGAUGUCACCCUGACAUUAUCAGUAGCUUUGAUUGUUGAAUGUCGUGCAAGUUAGGUUGUGGUUGUAUUGACUGCAAGCAGACAUAGGCACUUUACGGGUGUAACUAUAAAGGGUUCAAGUGACAAACAUAAAAACAAGAAUUGUCGUAUUCGCCUAUAGUAUUUCGCGAAAAAUGGUGAAACCCCUCGUGUCUAAAAAACAACUAGUGGGCACAAUGUAGUUAAGAUCCAAAUCCUGUUCAUGGUGGAAGCACCAACAGCCUAAAAAGAAUGCUGUUAACUAGAACUCAAUGACACUGGAAAAGAAAAAAAGGAACUAGUACAAAAUGACAGCCUAUUCAAGGAAAUUACAAACAACUGAAGUGAGGUCCAUGAGAAAGCGCUAAGUUGUAAGAUGUCCAGUUUUAGUCUUUCUAGAGAGGAGCAUGAGGAUCUGAUUUUCUUGAAGCAUCUUGAAAGAGCCAAUUGUCGAUCCACGUCGAAAAUUGAUUCAUCAUAUCAUUUGAGUAGUUAACAUGUUAUUGCUCAAAAAUUGACAGGAGAAUAUGAGCUCCUGUGACCAUGAGAAGGUCCUCUAAAUCUCCGCACCAAUGAUGUAAACGAACUCUGCAAAAGGAGAACAUAAAUGUGAUGAUAAGUUCUGGUUCAAUCAGCCACGAACACAUCCUCCAAUGAAAAAGAUUAUGUGCACACCAAAAAGAAGGCUAUUCUCAAUCUUUUCUUUUUUUCUUAGAUGUUUAAGGCAAGGCAGAGAUCUAUGGCAUAGUGUUUCAGCAGGUCCAUGAAUCCACAAUUCAACUAAGACACACACCUCUUUGAGAAGAUAAACAGGGAUUGGAGAAAGAAAGCACAAGAAUGGCUUGCUUGUAUAUCUGGUGUUAAUAUAAUGUAACUCGCAAAGUUUGAACUACGGGUUGCCUCCAAUUACGUAGAAGCUUCAUUUUUUAUACCAUUGGGUGAUUGCAUGGAAAUUAGCAGUCAGGAAUGAAGAAAACAGAAUAAUAAACACAAAUCCAAGAGUUGUCCGUUCACAGCACAGAGAACUCACUGCUAGAGUCAACAACCAUCCAAUUAAUGCAACCAUGAUCCUUAGAACUCGGACACGCUAGGUGCUACAAUUAUUCAUGGAAAACACUCAUAUUGGUGUUCUUUCGAUAUACCACUUUUGUGGCAACACUGCUAGGUGCUAUAAAAAAAAUAAAAAAAGAAACACAAUGUUAAUGCUCCUAGCCUACCCCGAAUCUCUCCUGGAAAGAGGUUCAUUACUAGAAAUGUUUGGACAAGCAAGACUCAAUUCUGUCAAAGUGUAUCGCCCUAAAUCGCAGCCAAUAAGAAAUUUUCACCAGAUCAACUAUUUAACUUUAUUACAAGACCUCAGCAUUAUUCAAUACCUGUAAUGUAUGUGGCAAGCUCGCCCAAAACUCCAAGUUUGGAAUUAUCUGCAUAAGUCAGAGAAGAAAGAGGUCAGAUUGUAGCAUUGCACAAAUUCAAUGUCAAAGACAGUCCAACACAAGCAAAGUCAGCAUGAGUUUUAUAUAACAAUACUGCACUCGAUGGGGAAAAAAAGGUGUGUAUUGUCAGGAAUAAUACUCAAGCCAACAAAGCAUCUUCGAACAUUGGAUCAAACUUACACCAUGGUUACUUCACUGACACCUGAGGUAGCUAAAAUUUUCCAAACAAACCAAUUUUAUUUCCUGAGUAAAAUGUUAAACAGUUUACAUUAAGAGAAUUAAUAUUUUCCACUUUGCCCGAAAUUCAUUAACUUGGGAUCAAACUUAUUAACUUGAUCAGACUGAUUAUGAUCUAGUUCAAGGCCUCUUAUAAGUAAAAGGCGCUCUGGUGGGAUCUUCAUGGUCAGAAAGUCUUUUACAGGCAGUUUAAUAGUGAACAAGUGGCAUUGCUCCUUUGGCCUGAAUCGAGGAAUCCCUUAGAUGAGAUGCUAUUAUUUAAAAGAUUCUUUCUCAAUCCCUGAAUAAUUUGGAGAGAGACAAGAGAAAGAUAGGAAAAGAAACUUCAACAAUCCUGUAAGAUUUGUAACUGUCACCAGUGACGUGCACUUGGUGCAGUAAACUACAGCUCGAGUAAAACUGCAAGCUUACACACAAAGAAUGACAAAAACCUACCACUCUCUCUUCUAGCAACAAAUCAUCUUAUGACUCCUUAGUAUGGUGAACUUUCUCUAUGCAGAUAUAGAAUGGAAUACUGAAUGCAUUUUUCGCAUUUUUCUAACUGGUAUAAAUUAAGAAGCAACAAAUCCAAAUCAUUGACAUCCCAAUUUGAUUAAUUUGCCUCCAACACAAAUUUAAGGUCAACUGAUCAAAGCUCUGCAACAUAUUUUCAUCUCAAAGUUCAUAAUUAUCCUCCUUGAUGUCACCAUUAUUCCCUAUCAACCACCACCAUGCAUCACUAUCUAUAACUGCAAUAUUUCAAUAUCUUCACCACCCCGAGGACCAAAUCUGUAACUAUAUUAUUAAGUCCUGUCUUGCUAAUAAAAAAAGAUGUCUUAUUCAUAAAAGACUCUUACUGUAAAAUCAAUGGAACCCACUAUUCAGUAUUCUCAUCCUUUUGCUUUGUCUCUCAACAGAGUUGUUUUAAGUUUAUAUAUAGCAGCUAACUCCCCCCCCCCCCCCCCCCCCCCCCNNNNNNNNNNNNNNNNNNNNNNNNNNNNNNNNNNNNNNNNNNNNNNNNNNNNNNNNNNNNNNNNNNNNNNNNNNNNNNNNNNNNNNNNNNNNNNNNNNNNNNNNNNNNNNNNNNNNNNNNNNNNNNNNNNNNNNNNNNNNNNNNNNNNNNNNNNNNNNNNNNNNNNNNNNNNNNNNNNNNNNNNNNNNNNNNNNNNNNNNNNNNNNNNNNNNNNNNNNNNNNNNNNNNNNNNNNNNNNNNNNNNNNNNNNNNNNNNNNNNNNNNNNNNNNNNNNNNNNNNNNNNNNNNNNNNNNNNNNNNNNNNNNNNNNNNNNNNNNNNNNNNNNNNNNNNNNNNNNNNNNNNNNNNNNNNNNNNNNNNNNNNNNNNNNNNNNNNNNNNNNNNNNNNNNNNNNNNNNNNNNNNNNNNNNNNNNNNNNNNNNNNNNNNNNNNNNNNNNNNNNNNNNNNNNNNNNNNNNNNNNNNNNNNNNNNNNNNNNNNNNNNNNNNNNNNNNNNNNNNNNNNNNNNNNNNNNNNNNNNNNNNNNNNNNNNNNNNNNNNNNNNNNNNNNNNNNNNNNNNNNNNNNNNNNNNNNNNNNNNNNNNNNNNNNNNNNNNNNNNNNNNNNNNNNNNNNNNNNNNNNNNNNNNNNNNNNNNNNNNNNNNNNNNNNNNNNNNNNNNNNNNNNNNNNNNNNNNNNNNNNNNNNNNNNNNNNNNNNNNNNNNNNNNNNNNNNNNNNNNNNNNNNNNNNNNNNNNNNNNNNNNNNNNNNNNNNNNNNNNNNNNNNNNNNNNNNNNNNNNNNNNNNNNNNNNNNNNACCACCACCACACACACACCACAAAGGCCAAAAACAUCACCUGUAGUCAGAAUUUGACAUUUAAAAAUUAGAAGACAAAUAUACAUCCUAAUACACAAUUUUUUUCCUUCCUCGCAUAACCACCUUGCUAUGAGAUUGUUACAUCUCAUAUUUUUCUUAGGUAAAAAGGUUUGACUCUAUUACAUGUUUUAGGCUUUUAGCUGCCUACUUUGUGUAUCACAUAUGUGUAUUUAUCUGGUGCCGACUUAGUUAUCUUGAGACAAUCACUUACAGUAGAGAGUAGAAUUAUUUUGAUAACCGAGAAAUCCGUCUGUGACCCGCCGCCCUUUGGACCAAUCAUAGCCUUCUAAACUCGGUGGAUAAUGGGCCCGCCCCUCUACCCUUCUCCACUUAAAUACAGGGUUUCACUUUGCAUGGUGUGGGACUUGAACCUGCGACCUAAGUCACAAAUCCUCCACCUUUUGCCACUCGAGCUAGGCCUUGGGGGCCCAGUAGAGAGUAGAAUUAUGCUUUUGUAGCAAAAGGAAAAAAGGAGGAUAGGGCAGCAAGAGGCCAGUCAAACAGAGAUAUUGUGGCCAAAGAAGUCUGGAUAGGAACUCUCAUGCAACUAUUCUGAUAACAGAAAAUGAAGACAUAAGACAGACAGAAGAGAGUAAGAGAAGUAACAUACAUCUAUCCCACGAAUGCCCAAAGAGUAGUACCGAUAGACUGCACCACCCACCAAGUAAACUCCAAAGAAGAAUAGGAUUCUGUCCAGUGUUUAUCAACCAAUCAAUCAAUCAGUGAGAAGGAAACUCAAUUACCUAGUCUAUGCUUUUAACCAUUAAACCUUACAGUAUCAACAUGGUACCAAACCAGCCCAUUCCGUUCCUGUGAGAGGAUAUAAUCAAUGCACAGCCGGAGGGGUGAUGUAUUUUCGUAGCCUGCCAACAAAAAAUAAAGCAUGAACUCCACAUCGAUACUAUCCAUAAGAACAAGGUUCUUGACAAAGUUAAGAGGAUGAGAUAUAAAGAGGAGAUUGAAGAAUGCACCAGAUUGUCUGUUUCAUAUGUAUGCGAAACUAGGAAGAAAUCUGAGCAUGCAAUGCAUAUUGCAACAAGGUCUGCUGAGUUGGACACUUCAGACCAAACAAGCAACCACUAACUUGGUGCCUAGGACUAAUAUUCAAUCUGCUCCCAGAAAAUUAUGCUGCUAUGAUCAAUGUCUUGCCGAGGGGUUCUUUCUUUUCACCUAGCAUGUCACUAGAAACUAUUAUCCCCACAUCAACUCAAUGUCAUGUCAAGGUUCCCAUCAACUAUGCUGCUUGAACUCUUCAAAAAUGUCAACAGUGGUGUUGGAUCCUUCAAAAGUAGUGCAUUUUCAAAGAAUCCAACACGGGUGCGGCAUCAUUUUUGGAGGAGCAACAUAGCCAAUUAAAGUGCCUCCCAUCUCCAAGACUACUUGCACCACUAAUCACAUUUACAAUUUUGAUUUGCUGAUCCAUUUUAUACCAUGCUAGACUAUAAGAAAUCAUCAUAAUGUGGCUGUCCAUACCAAGGCCUGUUACCUUAUUGCCAGUUGAAAGGAAAAACACAUUUUUAUUUAUUUUAUUAACCAAGAUCCUUUUCUUAAUAUAAUGACAUCAAAUACUCCUAUGAGUGACACAAAGUACUGCACAUGAGAUUGAAACAUAGACAUUUAGAGUACUUACGUAAUCACAAGUCCCAACUAAUUCAAGUGUCUGCGGACCCUGACAAAGGAAUGGAAAAGAAAAUCAUAUGCCGAAUUCCAAUGAAAUGUCACUGGAGAAAAGUACAGCCGAUAUACAAAGGAAAACAAGCCCUUACUUGAACUCCAUUUGUAUCACAUACAACAGACACAGCAAGUGAACAGUUGGACUUUGAACCUCUGUUAGACAGUUUAGCUGUGAUGCCUUUGAGCGGAUCCGUUUUGUCUGCCAUAUUAAUAAACGCAAGAAAAGGCAUUAACAUUUCCAAUUUAAUCUAGUAAAGUUGUCUCCGCAGGUGAUUGCAGAUUAUAUCUGCAUGAAAAAAUGCUACAAUUCGUAAUUACUAAUUGUGUACCUAAAAACAAGAAGAAGAACAAGCAAUUGAUAAUAACUUCUCUCCUUUAAUCUGAACUAAAUAAUUGACGGAUUCUUACCAAUGAGUUCAAAGGAUGUGCUUGAUGAAUAUCCAAGAGUAGUGCACACAGGAUAACCUGCACUAACCAUACUAAAACCAUUAAAGGAAAUAGAACAAAGAAUCAACUUGUGUAAAGUUAGCUAGAUUUUCCGAAGAGUCGAUGUAUGUGCUCAUGAUAUACUUGUAAAUACCGCACCAUCUCGGCAUAGCAUAAAUGGAUUCCUUUGUUUUAUCACAAAAGGAAAAGGGAAUACAUAUCAUCUGUUUGUCUGUUGUAUAUACGAUUUAUAUGUUCAACUUAAACAUGAUAUUCUGAAGGUAAUACCUCUUUAUUCUUCUUUAGAUUCCCUUUGAAGAGAAAUGGUGACGUACCAAGAGUACAUGCAUAAACUAAACAGAGGAUGAAUAAAAUCCCAAAUGUUCAUUCUAUUUAGCUGUGUCACUACUUUGGCCAAUCAAUAUAGUAAAACUUUACUAGGCAAGUGAAAAUAGUUGACUUGGAGAAGAAGAGAAUGUAUACAGCUAGGAUCACUAAGGGCAUCAAGAAGAUGCAAAAAGAUAAUUAGAUAAAAAAAGAGAUAGAGUCAGCUCUAUACAAAAGAUUAAGCUUAAUACUAAGGAGCUGAAAAAAAAAAAAAUAACUGUUCAGUGUUUGUUAUAGGGGUCAGAUUGCACCAGCUAAACAGAGAAAGUAAGCAUUUAACCUUCAGGAAGUGAUUAUGACUUGAGACUAUCAAAACAUCUAGGGUUUCUUUCUGUAAACACCAAAAAGUACAAGCAGGUAUCAUUGACCAGAUUUUCUUGAUGAUUUAUCAAUGUUCCAGGAACUCCAUCCUUCAUAGUUGUUCUGUCCACUUGCAAUGCAAAAAAAGAUGGUUGAUUGUCUCAGUUUGUUCCCCACAUAGAAAACACCUUGCGACUAAUUGAUGACCCCUUUUACUUAGGUUUUCCUGUGUCAAGACUGCCUCUUUAGCCAAAAACCAUAUCAUGUGUUCCGAUCUUGUUGCAUGUGUAUUGGAUACUAGAACUUCAAACUAAUUUCGCAAGCACAACUGCUUUCUUUAAGCCUUUUACAGACUCAACUCUCAACAAUAAUUGAGUAAUUGACCAUUCACUCAUGCUUUCAUGAGAACAAGCAACUGGAAAUCCAUUGUUGUUUAUCUGAUAUUUUAUUUCCUGGGAGUUCAUCAAUCAAAGCAAACUAACUUUUUAUUAGGCAAGGGACUCUAUCAAUCGUUCAGAAAGCACUUCCAGAACCAAUGCUCAUAAAGUCCUUUGAAUUGAAAAAACUCCUAGGAAAAACAUCUUACUCGAUCAUUUGCAUGACACGGUGACAAUUUUUUGUGUGUGUUUUAUUCUUUUGUGCAACAUGGGACCUGAAGAGAUAUGUCAUGUGGCUAGAUUGUUGGUCACAAUUCACAGCAUCAGUUUCGUCAAAGGACUUAUUUUUUCUUUUCUUUUUAAUAAUCAUAGUGUCCCCGUCAGCUUAUGCACCUCAACUAAUUCCAUGGAUACCUGACACCUCCCAGGCUCCCACCAGCAGAAGUACCAAGUCUUGGUUCCCUAUCAUAUAUUUUCUCCAGGUCAAUGAACACAAUGUGUAAAUCUUUUUUACACUCGCAAUAAAUCACCAUCAAUCUUAAUAUAACCUCCAUUGUAGAGCUAUGGGCAUAAAUCCAAACUGAUCCUCUGUAGCUCUUGUAUUGUCCCUAAGUAUAUGCUCUAUCACUCUUUCCCAGAGUUCCAUCGUACAACUCAUAAGUUUAAUACCACGAUAGUUCACACUACUUUUGAAUAUCUUCUAUGUUCUUAUAAAUUGGAAUCUCACUAUCCCAGUACUCUUUCUCCACUUGACAGGCAUCCUACCACUUCUUAAUAUAGCAUUUAAUAACUUGACAAGCUAUCCCAAUCCAAUCUCCAAGGCACUUACAAACCUCUAUUGGGAUACCAUCUGGACCACAUGAUUUUCUAUCCUCAUAUAUUCCAUGAUAUAAUUUACCUAUUCCGACCUAAUUAUAUGAGUGCAGCUAAAGUUUCUAUAGCGGGCGUCCUAAGAUGCUGGAAAAAGGAUGGCAUGGUAAGUACGAAGGAGGAGAGAUGGAAGAUUGUCCCAGCUUGUAUUUGGUGGUCAGUUUGAGAGGAACAAGAGGUGUUUUGAAGGAGUAAAAAGCAGCUUACAGAUUCUUAAGAUGUUGCUUAGGCCUAUUUUAUUUUUGGUGUGAGCAAAAACUAUUAGCUCAACAGAAGACGUUUUUGAUGUUUUAGACUUUUUGUAAGGAUAACUUGAACCACAAGAUGUAAGUUGUAAUACUUUUGUUGGGGAACUAUACCUGUUGGUGUAGUAUACCUGUAGAUAUAUAGAAGUAGUGUUACCUUUCUCAAAAGAAAAAGUUCCUAUAGUGUACAAACGUAUGGAGAUCCAUAAUGUGCAUAUAUCUUCCCCUCUUCUUUUCCUCAGAACUUAUGAAUUGCCUUUGCAAUCAAACGUUCAACUGUAACAACUAGCAACAGACACAACCCCAUGGUGUAGGAGUCUGGAAAGCAAUCAGAUCCCUCUGGUCUUUGAUGGCUGGAAAAAUUAGUUUAAGAGUGGGCAAAUGGUAGGAAAAUUAUUUUUUGAUGUGAUACUUGGCUUGGGCAUGGACCUCUAAAGGAACUCCUUCCUGAAUUCUUUAGCAUUGCCACUAUGCCAGUCAUUAGUCUGGAUUCAGCAAUACACAGAUGGAAUAUUACUUUUAGAAGGCUACUGCAUGAUUGGGAGUUGGAACGAGUUGUUGAAUUUUUCAAGACCUUGGAAUCAUUCCAAGGGAUCAAAGAUACUGAAGAUUCACUUAUAUGGAAGCCCACUAGUAAAGGAACUUAUUCAGAAAACUUAACUUAUAACAUCCUGCUUAGGCACAGACAAUCAACUAAUCAGUGGCCAUGGAGAUCCAUUUGGAAGAUGAAGGCUCCUUUUAAGGUGGUAUGCUUUUCUUGGCUAAUAGCAAGAAAUGCUUGCCUCACACAGGAAACUUCAAAGAAGGGGAUUCCAACAGUGUUCUAGAUGCUUUUUGUGCGGAGCUGCUGGGGAAAAUAAAAGUCACCUAUUCAAUCAUUGUCCUGUUACUGGACAAUUAUGGCAACUAUUGUUGAACAUGGUAGAAAUCAGAUGGUCAAUGCCAGUAACAAAUGUUGAUUCACUGAAAUGUUGGAACCAGAAUGAUGGGGAAAUUAGUAAGAAAAAUUGGUGGAAACUUGUCCCUGCUUGCAUAUGAUGUACCAUUUGGAAGGAGAGGAACUAUAGAGCUUUUGAAGACAAAUAUAAUUUUGUGGAGAAAAUCAAGCCGAAUUGUAUAUUUUUGUUUUCUUUUGGUGUAAAGAAAGCUAAUGCUGAGUAGGCUGAAUCACUAGUUGAUAUGAUAGGAUCCUUGUGAAGCAGUGGCCUAAGCUUGGUUGGGAUUUUGUGAAGUCUUUUUGCACUGUUAUGGUGUAACUUUAAUAUAAUAUAUAUAUAUAGUCGUAACCAGUUUCAAAAAAAAAAAAAAAAACAGACACAACCCCACAAUAGCUUUUAGUUCCUAAAAUAGUUGGCACGACAUAGACAUAUGGACGACAAUUUCUCACAUACUUUUUUAUACAUGCUCAUCUUGCUUAAUCCAUUGGAUAUGGAGUACAUAAAAUCUUAAAAGGAUAAGCUUUCCUUUUUUCUCCUUUCUUUAGUGGUAUUCUCCUUGUCAUGUCCAAGUAUUGAAACCAUUUAAGUCAUAAUGAUUUAAACAUCUCUUGACCCACCAGUCCUCCGCCAUAACUUGAAAGGACACUUUCAGAAAGUGAGAAAAAAAUAAAGACAAGACAUGUAACGAUUUAAAUGUAAUAAAGGGAAAAAGAAAUCCCAGAUACCCAUAACUUCAGUAGUAUUACCUCCAAUAAUGUUAGCCACGAGGGCACUACAACCCAUACCACAGCGAGAAAUACCACCGCAGUCCUGCAAAUGUAAGCAUGUUCAAGUUAGAGUUGUCUACAUGGUGAGUAAAGAAAACUAACAUUUCUGAAAAUCGUUAUCAUAGUCAAGAAGUUUAAAUUUCACAUCUAAAAGACAGAAUAUUCCUAUACAUGGCUGAUGGGCCAAACAAGUCCAAGCUGCAUGUGAUAAAUAAAAUCACUUGAAGAUGCUUUACCAAAUAUAAUAAAUAAGCAAACUUCAUUUAUGUACAUCUUGGUUACUUUCUAAUGUUCAAUAUGUUUGAGCAGAACAUAAAUUUAUCUUAGCAGAGUUGAUAGUCUUCUAAACUUCACCCCCCAGAUACCCACAAAUGAUGUUAUAUAUUUCCAGUGGCAAAUCAAAGAUAUCAAAUAGUCAAUAUUCAAUCUUUGAUAUUAAGAUAAACAGAAGAAUCACUAAUUCUCAAAAAACAAAUCAAUGAACAUAUAAGGUAUUAUGCUUAGCAAAACUCUAAUAAUCGGUAGAAUUUUUCAAAAGAGAAUAACGGAAUCUAUAUAAUUUGUGUUUUUUUUAAUAACCGUAGCGUCCGGUUCAACUUGUUUGCAACUCGAUAAUUCCACGAGAUACCUGGCAGCUCCCACCAGCAACAACUAUUGUACACCAAGGUUGGAGCAGGUACCAGAGUCUAUAACUUGUUUCAUAGUCAUUGAGAGAUUUCUGAGGGCCAACACGGUCCUCCUGGCCUCUCUCCUAGUAUGUUAAUAUAUUGUUUAUUCUGCAGCAUUUCCUGAUUUGUAGAACUAGGGUAGUUUAAUCUGCAGCCCCACAUUAGUUGUGUAUUUGGCAGCUACUAGAGUACUAUUGUUAUAAGAAGGUUAGCUAAUUUUCUGUUGCACACGAUAAUUUACAUUUCAUAGGGUUAACUAUAGAACAACUUUGUCUCCUCUAGCAAUGAUAAUUGGCAAAGAAACACAGAUGUAGUUUGGCAAGCACUUACCCCACACUCAACACAGGUAGGAGGAUCAUGGUUGAAAAUCAUUGCAUCACAAAGCUGCUCCAUAAGCAGAGAGGAAACAAAGUGAGAUUCAGUAAAGUAUUAGCAGUUGCCAAGUUUAACCAGUAAUAAAAUCCAAAAAACUUUUUUUUCCUCAUCACAAGAUGUAACUGCCACUUGUAUUAACCAUACAUAUAACAGUUCAACUACAUUAUGCUUCCUAAGUGAACACAAUGAAACCUAUAAUGGCUCAUUCACAGAUUUAGUCACUUAACAAUAGCUACACGUCAUACUUCUUGUCCAUAGACCUCAGACAUUUGGGAGCUAAUAAAAUACCUUUUUCUCUCAGUUAAGGGGGGAGCUUAUAAAAUACUCAAGUACAUAGUUAAAUAGUCAAUGAGCAAGCCUCAGAAAACCACUGUGAAAUUGAAAAUCAAACUAAGCAUGACAGUGUAACCUGAUGCAGCCAACCUGAAACCAUAGCACAGUCCCAUUAACAGCCACCUUGUAGAACCUGAAAUUAUGUACAAGUACAGAGUACUUUAGUAAAAAUGCCAUCCCACAACAAACUAACAAAAGCAGAAUUUUCUUUGACCUGAAAUUAUAGAUGUCAGAGUCCUUCAGUAGAAAUGCCACCCCGCAACAAACUAACAAAAGAAGAAUUUUCUUUGAGCUUUGAAUCUAUUCUCCUCUAUAUUAGUCCAUCUUAUACCAACACUAAAUAACGUCUUAUAGGCAAAGUAGAAGUUCUUUCUAUGGAAUUGGAGUUCACUAAAUCACACACUUAUCCUUACACAGCCAUAGAAAUCUCUAAACAAAACAAAACACCCCUGACAAAACCUGGACCUAAUAUAAAAAUACAACACUAAGCCUCAAUCCCAAUCCAACAAGCUGGUAUAUACUCCCUCUGUUUCAAUUUGUUUGUCUCUUUCUUUUUUUGGUCGAGAUAAACAAAACUUUCCUUUUUAGUCCGUUUCGAAAGAAUGUGUCUUUCUUUUUUUGGCAACUCCUUAAUUCUAAUUUACAAAGCAUGUUUAAGACAACAGGAUUAAAAGACAUUUUAGUACAUUCCACAUAUCUUUAGUUUUAGUUUAAGACCAUAAGAUUCACAAGUAUUCUUUACAUUCUUAAACUCUAUGUCAAGUCAAAACGAGACAAACAAAUUGAAACAGAGGGAGUAUCCAAUAUGUUCUGUUCUUUUUUUUUCUUUUUUUUAUGACCUUGGUAUCUGGGCCAACUUUCGCACACCUCGACUGAUUCCACGGGGUACCUGCCACCUCUACCAGCAACAGGGAUAGAUGGGAAAAAUCACCUAGUUGUUUUUGUUUCCGCUAUGUUCUGUUCUUAGCUAAGAACAAUGGCAUAUAUUGUAGUAAGAUGAAAAUAUCAAUAUGGAAUCCGAACAAUGUCAUUUCUCAUAUCUCAUCAAAUCACUGCACUAGCUUUCCCCAUAUUUCACUAUCAGCCCCAUAUCAUGAAAUAGUGUUUCUCAUAUUUCACUAUCAAUCACAUAACUGCACUAGUUUUCUUAUAUCUCAACUAAUCUCGAACUAACAGAAAAGUGUAAGUUAUGGAAAGUUAGCAAGUAAAAAAGAGAAAGAGAGAGUACCCAUCUUCACUGAGGAUGCCAUGAGGGAAAUUACGAAUUGGGUUCGUUAAGCUGUAAUUGUAAAGCUUAUUGCCUUGCUCAAAACUAAGCUGACACGUUCCAUAGACCGAAGUAAUGAUGGUGGCGAAGAUUAGUGGAAGAAGAAGCAGAAUGAGUGGAUGGCGAUUUCGGAAACUGCCACCAAUUGUCAUUUCGAAUUCCUAAAACUACAUAAGCAGCAAUUUAUUGGGUUGUGAGAAUUUUUGCAGUAAUCGAAGGUUUGUUUUCUUGAUCUUUACAGAAAUGAAGUCGAAUCUUGCUUGGGAGGGGAGGCCAGCGAACAAGAUGAACUCACGGCGGUUUUGGAUGUGUGUCCUUAUAGCUAAUUACGGACUUACUAAUUAAUCAGCUGAUUACUACUCCUAUUAGAUUGUAAUAUUAUGAAUUUUAUUAUAUUUUGAAUUUCAAGUAUGUGUAUAUGAUGUGUUUAUAUAAAUAUGCAUUUCGGAUAUAUAUUAUUAUCAUUUAAUUUGUUUUAGGUACACUAUAUGAUGAUAAAUUCGUAUGUAUUUGACUUUCUCGCUUAUCUUUUUUCUAUUUGAGUUACCAUUCUCCUAUUUGCUCGCCUCUCUCCUUUUAUCAGGUAUCCAGAUAGGUAGAUACACAUAUUUAAUGUAAUUCACUGUUGGGAUAUAUGCUGCUAAACAUGUGUUUAGAUAUAAUUAUUUUUUCAUUUUUAAUAGAUCAUAUAUUCGUAUUUUGUGUCUGUUUGCGUAUAUAUUACUUAGAUGAUUUAGUGUAUAGAGUUUUAGCUUAUACACAGAGAAUUAAUCAUCGGUUCUUAUAAGUAUAAAGUUUUUUGUUCACAAUCUAAGAUGGGAAUUGGACAUGUCAUCGGUACGAUUGUAGCACAAGAUUAUAUGUAGUUUAUCUUGAUUAUGGAAAUGGUAUAGUUCUAAUUUCUUGUGCUAGUGCAUUUUGUAUGUAUUGAAUGGGACCGAGUAGAGAUAGUUGAUUUAGACUGACUGACAAAAGCAUAAUUCUCUAAACUAUUAAAUGUACUUAUAUUCUUAAUCUUGAUAUAACCAUUAUGAUAUGUAUAUGUUAUUUAUCGUUUUGAUUUAUUAAAAGGUGAGAUUCUAAGUUGGGUCAAUAUGCCUGGUAGAUUGAAUGAUGAUUAUAUAUAUUGGUGAAAUAAUAAGUUAGUUGACGAAAUUCAUGUUUCGAUAUAGAGAUUGAUGAUAUGCCUUUUUGAGAAGCUUAUAAGUUUUCAUCAUGUCAAACCUUGUAAGUGGAUCUAUGAAUCCGACACAUGAAAUAAGUUAAGUAGUGCUCUAAAGAAAAUUAAUCAUUGAAUUAAAUUCAUCAGUAAUUUAAUUUAUUGAUUAGUAUCUGUAAUCUUUAACAUGAGGAAUUAUGUGUUUAAUGAGAAAUUUUUCAAAUAUAAAUAGAGGAGUACAAUUAUGAAUUUCUAGUGGAAAUGAUUUGUACGUAAUUUAUUAUGGCAAGAAUAAUUCAAAUUAAUUAUUGGGAAUUCUUUUCAUAAUAGGAAGCCUCAAUAAUUAAUUAUUUGGUCUCUACCAUGCUCAUAUUUAACUAGAACCCAAAAUAUAUUCUAAGGGGAAAAGGAAGAAGUACAUGUCUUUUUCUAUUCUAAGGAAAGGGAGAAGUACAUGUCUUUUUCUAUUAUAAGGAAAGACUAUGUGUUUCUUCUCCUCAUUAGACUAGGCAAGAAAUCUCUAUAAAUAGGGAUUCUUCAAACCCUUAGAUUCUUCAUUGGAUUCGCUUGAAGGUAUCUGCUCACGCUUCAAGAAGUAAUUCUUGAAUUAAAUUUCAGAAAGUUCAUGUCCUCUAACAUGAUUGUACUUGUUCUAGCAUAAACUAUGUGUUGUCUAUUAUUCAUGUAAGUUGUAUGAUUCUAAUAUGAUUCCGCUAUGCAUAUAGUUUUCCAUCAUUCACAUGCAUCUGGAAAUGAUUUGUAUGUAUAUGGAGAUCUCACUUGCCUCCCUGUGGCCUCUUUCCUUCUCUCACUCGCUUCUCUUUCUACUUUAAUGUAUCUAGCAGUAAAAAUAUAUAUAUCUAGGUGUAUUUGCCUUGAUAUUUGAUAUGAAAUUAUUAAUUAGUGAGACAAUAUAUAAUUAUUUCAAAUUAUAGAAAAAUAAAUAAAUAUGAUAUGAAUGUUUAUGUACUUAGGUAUUUUUUUCUUUCUUUUUCUGUUUCUAAUAUAUUUCUAUUUUAUGUUAACUAUGCACAAUUAGUUAAUGUCCCUUAGGGUCAGGAGAAAAUGAUCUCUUGUGACAAUUUUAUGAAUUGAAUAAAUUUUUAUUUUUUUAAUAUUUCUUAUUUGUGAAAAUGAAAUUUUAAUUAAAAAGAAACUACAAAUCAUUCUCUCGUCAUUUGUCAAACAAAAUAAAUGGGGUUCAACAUGCAUAAAAUAUUCCUAAUAUUAUUGAAUAUUUAUCAAAUAAGGAAAUACUAUUUCAUUUUUUGAAGUCCGAUAAAAAAAAGUUAUGUCAUAUAAAUUAUGACAAAUUAUUAUAUAAAUUGUCACUUUUAAUAUAAUUUGUUGUAUUUGUGCUAUAGAGCUUUGCAUCCCUAAAAUAGAUAUAAAUAAUACUCUCCAAUCGCCAUUUGUCAAUAUAUGAUCACACGACUAGCUAAACUCUCCUCUCAAUUUAGACAUGAUAAAAUGAAUAUAAAUCAAGCAUAAACAAUAUUGAAUUUAAAUAACCUCUCAAUUUAAUAUCACAAUUCACAUGCGUCCCAAAAAUUAAUUUAUCAAAUAAAAAUACAAGAAACAAAUGAAAUGUAUACCUACCUAACCCAAUUGUCAAAUAAAAAUCUUUAUUUCAACUUUACCCCACAAAUGAAUAAAUCCAAUUUUGGUGACAAAGAACAUUGCAUUAAAGAGAAAAAAAAUAGGAGAAACUUUCCAACUUUCCUGCAGAAAUAACGCAAAUUUUUAUUAUAUUUUUAUAAUUGUGAUAUUUUGACCAAAUAUUCAAAAUAAUAUUUUUCUCAAAGUAAAUAUUUAAAAUUAUUUCCAAAAUCAGCCGAUGUGAUGACGCCAGAUAGAAUUACUCAUCUUUUAAUAAAGCCUUAUGCAUUACGAAUCUAAAUUAAUCUUUCGAUACAAAUAUCAGACACGAUUGAAAAUAAAAAAGUCAUUACAAAAGCAAAAUUUAUAGCCGACCGUUUGCUUGAAUGCCACGAGCCUGCCACGCGCUGUUAUGCACUACUCAAUCCUAUCCAUCCACGUGUCAUCCAUCCAACGGCUGUAAGUCCUCUCAUGUCGGGUUUUUCAUCAUCUACUUACUAUAAUCAUCUUCCCUCUUUCAUUUUCCUUUGAUUUCUUUCUACUGAUAAUUGUUCAAUUUCUGCAUAAGUUUCAGUAUUCAUCAUCAUGCUUCUAAAAGUGGCACCUGCGUUUGCGUUGUUGAACACCCAUGGGGAAAAUUUGGGUUCCAUGUUAUCAUUUUCUUCACAUGGAUCUGUUUUGAAGAAUUUUUCGGCAAAAAGUGGAAAUGGAUUGGUUGUAUGUGCUUCAAAGGGUUCGAACAGCAAACCGUUGACGGGUGUUGUUUUCGAACCCUUUGAAGAGGUGAAGAAAGAGCUUAUGCUUGUACCUACUGUUCCUCAUGCUUCUCUUGCUAGACAGAAGUUCACUGAUCAAUCUGAAGCUGCUCUUAAUGAACAGAUCAAGUGAGUUUUUUUAAUAUUUCUAAGAUUUAUCCAUUUUUUUGCUCUUGUUUGAUGUUUUGCUUUUUAUUGUAUUAUUUUGUUGUAGUUAUUGGUCGUUUGGUAGCAUGGGUUACUAGAAAUAUUAUACAUGUAUUAGAUCAUGCAUAAGUAAUAUCAUGUUUGGUAAUUGGUUAGACUAUAUAUAAAAUUAAUAGCGUGUUUGAUUUGCACUUUAGAAACUUGCAUAACUAAUACAGGUAUGGUAGGAGGGAAUCUAUGUAUAAUUUUAGAUAGGAUAGAAAAUGAGAUAAUUAAUACAUGAAUAACUAAACUCCGCCUAACGAAUUCCUGCAUAAAACAGUACAUAAAUUUACUCAUAAUUAGUCCAUGUAUUACUAAUAUUUGCAUAACUCAAGCCAGCUACCAAACGAUUUAUACUGCUCAAUAAAAUUGCUUUGGACGGUUCCUUUUUGAGCCGUCUAGCAGAAACAACCUCUCUACUUCUGAGUUAGAAGUAAUGUUUGCGUACACUCUAACCUCCCCUGACACCACUUUGUGGGACUAUAAUGGGAAUAGUGUUGUCGUUAACAUGGGAAAUUCAUGUAAGUGACCACAACUAGUUUGAAAUUGAGGGUAGUAGUAGUUGAUAUGUUGUUGUUGUUGUGUUUUAGAAGUGGUGUUCAAAACAUUUCACUCUUACCAAGGGAAUGCGAAAUUUUCCAAUCUCAUAGAUACAUAUAGAAUUAUGAGGAAAUAGAACUGCCUUAGCGGAGACUAAAAAUAGUGACUAUAGAACUGCCUUAGCGGGGCUAAAAAUAGUGACUAUGUCUUCAUGCUUUCGAAAAAAGAAAACACCUAUCUAUACGGGGCAUUAUUUGUCUACUUAUUGCAUUAGUCGUGUCUAUUUUGAAGUUUUUUUAACUCGUUUGAUGUGAAGCCCUUCCAUACGCGUAUGAAACUUUGAUCAGUCCUAGUUGAUUGGUCAAAUGAGGAUUAUGAUUUCUCACCUUUUGGAACAACUUCUUAUAGUUCUGUUACUAUCUGUUUAUGAGAUUGUUUUGUAUUUUUUGUGAUUGCAGUGUGGAAUACAAUGUUUCGUAUGUUUACCAUGCUAUGUAUGCCUAUUUCGACAGAGACAAUGUUGCUCUCAAGGGACUUGCCAAGUAAAUAUUCAAAGACUCUUCCAAAUCGAUGAGUUAGCCGUGUGGAUUUUGUUUAAUGGUUUGUGAUUAUAUGUUAUUGUUUUGGUGAUAUAGGUUUUUCAAGGAAUCAAGUGAAGAGGAAAGGGAACAUGCUGAGAAAUUCAUGGAGUAUCAGGUGUUUGAAAAUUUGCCUUUAUGAAAUUUUGUGUUACUGCUUUUUAUCUUUAUGAUUUGUGCUUUGUGUUUGGGGGAAUGGUUAAUUCUAGCAUCUGGUUGUACAUGCUAAUUGGGUUGCUUCAACUUCUUGUAUUACUUGGAUUUAGAACAAGCGUGGUGGGAAAGUGAAGCUGCAGUCUAUUUUAAUGCCAUUAUCUGAGUUUGAUCAUGCUGAGAAGGGGGAUGCAUUGUAUGGUAAGUUUGUUUCUGUUCUCGUAUGUUUUGCUUGUUAACCAUGGUGUCUAGGCCAACUUGCAUGUACCUCGACUAAUUCCAUGGUUACCUGCUAUAGGAAGAAUUCACUUAGUGUUUUUGCCUUGAGACGUGAUCCUGAGACUUCCUUGUUCUUCCCCCGUUUCAUUGAUCAUUAGGCCACAUCCUUGAGUGCACUUUCUGUUGUAUGUUGCAAUCCUAUUUUUGUAAUUAGAUAUUUUGAUGAUACUAGUAAAAAUGGUUGUCUAGAUUAUAAGUUGCUAGAAAUGUUUACUAUGUUCAUCAGAUGUCUAUGUUGACAACUUGACACCAAAAGAGAUAUAAUUAAUGUUGCAGACGCCAGUAUGCCCUUGUACUCCCAAAUGCCUACUAAUAACUAUUUCCUCUUCCUUGUGAAUUGAGAAAUACGAAAGUUCUUAUGUUAUUAAACACUGAAAAAAAGGAGAUUGAACUUUCAGUUACUUACCACAUGCUUUGUCGAAUUUAUUCUGUAGCAAUGGAGCUUGCACUUUCUUUGGAGAAGUUGACAAAUGAGAAACUCUUAAACUUGCAUGCUGUGAGUUUUUCUACUAUUCUUUUUUAGUUGUAGCUAUACACAAUCAUUUGAAAUAGACAACCAUUGUGUUGGUUUUCGAUGACAUUGAACAAAAAAGUUCUGCAUCUUGGUUUUUCAUAAUUUGCCACUAUACAUUUUGACUACUCUUUAACUUUUAAAAACAGGUAGCCACACGAAACAAUGAUGUGCAGUUGGCUGAUUUUGUUGAAAACAAGUACUUGCAAGAACAGGUCUGGCUUCUUUACUAUUUGUCUAAUGGAGUUGUUAAGUCUCAAUACUAAUGCAUGAUGCUAUUUUAAUUUUUAAGACAUGUUCUUCCUUUGUUUCUUUUAACUUUUAAGACGUGUUCUCCUCAUUAGGUGGAAGCAAUCAAGAAGAUCUCGGAAUAUGUGGCUCAGCUGAGAAGAGUGGGCAAAGGACAUGGUAGGAUCACGCUCCCUUGUGAAUUACUUAUUAAUUAAUUAUACUGUUCCCCUUGUACACUAUUCAUAUAAACCUUAACUUUUCAACGUCCUCGGCUGCAAUUUAGGUGUCUGGCACUUUGAUCAAAUGCUCCUGCACGAGGCGGAAGUUCUUGCUUGAUGGAGAAGAUAGACUUACAACUUUCUACGAGCACAGUGCCCCUUUGGAGGAUGUUGUCUGGGUAUAUUUUGUCAUAAGCCUUUUCUAUGAGAUUAAGAUAUAUAAGGUGUUUUGGUGAUCGAAAGUCCCGGUGCUGUACAUAGACCAAAUAGAUGUAGUUAUCUGUGCUACUUAUUAGUACCCUCCUGGUGUUCAAAUCAGUUUUAAUUUCCCUUAUGGUUUGCUAGUUGUAGCUUGGAAUCGAAGGUGCCCCAUUGAAGUCAAAUGUAAAGUGAAGUUAGUUUUGUUUUUAGUUGGAUGUUGGCUCAUUUGGAGAAAUAAUAAAUAAUUGGAAUUCAGCUGAAGUUGCUUUUUUCGGGGUUUGUUUCGAUAUUUUUACAUGUAAUUGUAAAAAGUGACGUCGUUUUCGAUAGAUUCUUCUCUCAAUAGAGAUACAUGUGGAGUAAUUUUCUUAGAUAAUCACUCAUGUUUGGAAAAUUACUUAGGAAUAUCACUUAUGUUUGUUUUAGGAUUACAAUAUCACCCAACUUUGCCUAUUUUUAUCAAAAUAUACUUGACACAAAAAAUACAUUAUCUCUCUCCUACUAGGAUGCCAUGUCACUAUUUUUUAAUUUAUUAAUAAUAUUUUUUUAAUUCUUUAAAUGACAGCUUAUUUAAUGUAUCUAUAAGAGAUCAUUAAUCAAUUCUCUAUGAAAAUCUAGUUACUUCAAUUUUAUAGUGAAAAUCUUUAUCCUAUGUUUCAUUUACGAGUAUUUGCCAUUAUAUCCAUACAAAAAUUUAGUCUUGCUAUCGAGGAAAAAAUUAAACUAGUUACUUGAAGUGAUGAAGAAACAAUAAAUUUAGUUGGAUAUUUUGAGAUAAACUAGAUAUUAGGAACAUUGAUUUUUACACAAACUAUAAACAUAUGCUGCUUGUUCACGGUAAAAAAUCAAAGAUUUCUUGUUCAUGGUAAAAAAAAAAAGAUUUUUACACAAAUUAUAAACAUUUGUUCAAAGCUUAGGCAGAUUCAAACAAUAGAAAUAUCCGAUUCAAAAACAAGCCAAGACAAAAAACCCCUAAAUUUUAAGAAAAUUACUCCAAUAUCAUGUUAAGUAUUCAAAUUAUUUCACAAUUUACACUUCAAAAAUAAAAGAAUUAGAAGAAAACUUGAAUUUUACCUCGUGGCGAUUUCUUUGGUCGACAUCAAAGGUAUACAGCGGCUCAGGAGACAGUUCCUUAUGCAGAUUCGUUAACUUAAUCCUUAAAGAACCUGAGGAAGCCACAUAUUUUCUUGAAGAAUUGGAGGAGCUCAUAUUACAGUUCCUUAUGUAAUUUUUUUUACUAAGUAUAAUAUAUGAAUUGCCUAAUUUUUAAAAAAAAAUUGUUAAUAAUAAAAAAAAGGAAUAAUGUGACAUGUCAUCCUAAUAGGAAAGAGAUAAUGUAUUUAUUGUGUCAAGUAUAUUUUGAAGAAAAAUAUGUAAAGUUGGGUGAUAUUAUAGUCCUAAAACAAACAUAAAUGAUUUUCCUAGGUAGUUUUUCAAACAUGGAUGACUAUCUAGGAAAAUUACUCGAUACAUGUGCACAUAUUACCUCCAAUGUAGAUGUGCACUUAAUGGAUAUAUCAAUUAUUUAUGAAAGUGUAUAGCUAAAGAAUGUGGAAAGUAUUUUUGUCGAUAUUUUUUUUAAUUUUUUUUUUAUAUAAGGCAUAAUACAUAAGUAUUUUUUUUUUAAACUUAGCUUUGGUUCAUAUUUAUGCCCUCCAAUUUUGGGUGUGUACAAAUAAGCAAUUAAAUAAGUAAAAACACAUGUAUCCUAUAUAGCAUAAUACAGGUAGGGACAUGGGCACAAACUUAAGGAUAAUUUUAUUAUUAUGUCAUUAUAUAAUGCGUGUUAUUCUUAAAUCUUAAUACAACAAAUCAAAAUGUAUAUAAGAAAUAAUUAAGACUAUCUUUAUACAUCUUUGACAAUUGCCACGUGUCACCAACACAUGAGCCUAAUUGCAUCAUCGACUCCAUAAGGUUAGGCACAUAACGAUUGCGUGUGCUCGAUCCAUCUUUGGCUUCUUCUCGAAGAAAGCACUUACACAUAAAAAUAAAUAAAAUUAAAAAAUCGACUAUAAAUAAAAGCAAACUGAAGGAAUCAGGAAGAACUCGAAAGAAGAAAUGUUGAAUAACUCCAUGAAUGUUGCUCUGUUACUACUCAUUCAACUUCUACUCAUUGCAAUUGCGGUACAGUACUCAACCGCUGAUGAAUCCUUCGAUGUUCGUCAACAUCUAUCAACUGUAUCGAGGUUAUCUCUUAUUACUAUUUUUCUCUUUUCAAUUUGAAAAAUUUGAUACUGUUUUAGAGAAAUACGAUCUGGUAAUUGGUAAAUGUAUUAACUAUUCUAAAUUUUGAGCUAUCUCUGAGCUGAAUUUACAACUGUGAGCAGCUAAAGUUAAUAUUUAGAGUGAAUAGGUUAAAGCCUCGCUAUUUUGCGAAUUUCGUACCUAAACUAUUAGGUGUUCUAUGUGGCGAAAUGUUUGGAAUAACUUCCUUACAGGUGCGUGGGAGAUGACAAAUGUCUUAAAAAUGAAUUCAACUGGUACAAUGAGAGCCUCCUAGUAGACUUGCAAAAUAGUGAUGGUUUAGGGGUUUUUAACCUAUUCACUCAAAUUUGUUUCUACAUGUAUCACCAGUUGGAACUGUUUGGAGGAGUUUUUGGAGUGUGAUUUUCACAUAGCAUGGCGUAUUCUCUGGGGUAUUUUAAUAUAAGUUUGUGGUUGUUUGGGGGUUCUGUGAACACCAAAUAUUUUAGGUAUGGAGCUCAUAACACAGUGCUAAUUUUGUGCUACUCGGUCUGUCCGAAUUUAUGUCGCAGUGAGUGGCACCGAUUGACUUUGACACUAAGUUUAAGAAAAAAAGGUAGACUUUUGAAAUUUGUGGUCUAAAACAAAUCUUAGACAUUUGUGUGACUAUAAAUCAUUUCAUUAAGGAUAGAAGGGGAAUACAAGUUAAGUUGUUUCUAAUAUAGAAAGGUGACAUUCUUUCUGGGGACGGACUAAAAGGGAAAACAUGCCACAUAAACUGGGUCAGAGGGAGUAUUAUAUAGAUUUAUGCAUGUGUAAGUUGACUUGUUUUAGCAUGUUACUUGAGAUGGCCUUUUAAGUAACCUGAAUUAAGCAUAGAAUUUGAAAGAAAAAUUAUAUGUAUUAAACAAAUAUGCAGUUCAAACAGAUGGCAGAUCAGCAUGCUGUCUAGUGUCUAAUUACUAAAUUUCAGACUGCAUAGUAGAGUUUCGUCUUGAGUCAUCUGUGGCCAAAAGAUAAGAACAGAGAGAAGUCCGCAAUUUCAGUUGGCAUUUGCAUUAUAGAAUUGGGCUAUUGAUGUACUUGUUUAUUGGUUUUGUUUUCAGGUAUGGUAUUGUGAAGGAUAUAUCUGAUGAUUCCUUUGCUCCUUCCCAAAAUCUCGAUCAGUGUACACCUAUUCAUUUGAAUCUUGUGGUGAGUCUUUGUUUGAUGUUUCUGCUGGUGUUGUUCUUUCUUGUGGUGCCAAUGCAAAUUGGUUUAGACAUUUAAGUUGUACUUGUUGUAUUUUCUGUUGCCAUUUUUUUGUCAUUACAUAGAAUCUUUUCUUUGCCUACACUUAAUAGGAAAGUGUUAUGUGUAAUAGUAUUAUCCGUGUCAUUCCCCUGAAAGAGCUAUAACAGCGAGAAAAUUGUGGAUGUGCAUGUGUGGGGUGCAUUAAGACUCUUAUCACAUUGUCUUGAUACUCUAGGCCUUGGAGCGCUUGUUGAUAGUUACUGAAUUAACUCAACAAACUAACACAAAGUUUAGGCUGCCAUUGGAAGUUCAUCUACACCAAAUUGCAGGAACCUUUUCUUUGUUUGUUGAUUUCUUAUAAUGGUAGUGUUCUGACUAGCUUGUGGCUUUGUGUGCACCUCGACUAAUACACUUGUUACCUAUUACUUUCCAUCAGCAAGCUACUUGGUAACUCUAUCCAUCAAUAUUUAGACAGAUGGAAGAACCUAGUAUUGCCUCUGCUGGAAUGCGAACCUCAGUUUGCAGGGUUGUAAUCCAGCUCUUCGACCACCAGGCCAUCCUCUUUAGGGUGAAGCAAUCAGAAAAUCUUAAUUCUGUUGAGAUUUGGACGAUGCUUUAUGAUGGGAAAGUUGCUGAAGGUAUCCCAUAAAUCUAGAUUGCGAGUAAAGUCAUCUUAUUCGCCAAAGGAUUAUAUCUGAAGAUUAAUGUCACUUAUUUGUCAUAGCUUGCUAAUCUCUUCGAGAUUUCGACGUUUCAGAAGUUUGAACAGUAUGAUCCUCAAAUAUUUAGUGUCCUGAAUCUUGUUCUCCCCUUCCGUUUCAUUCGGAAUAGGUUCAAUCUUCUGCUGAUCCAUGUCAACUACUAUUUGGCACUUUAUGUGUCAUUUUCCCUUUUGAACUUUUUAAUGGAAAAUGCAUAGACAUCAUUUGCUUCGUCUAAUUUGCACAAAUGUGAUUUUUGAUUCUCGUAUGGAAAUUGUGCUCGAUUAAAAGGAGAUAUUUCAACAGGUUUCUUUCAGGUAAUGCUAUGCUCAUGAGAGAGGGUUCUUGAUUGGUAACUUCUUUAAUCUUCUUAUUUGGUAGGCGCGGCAUGGCACUCGUGCUCCUACAAAGAAAAGGAUCAGGGAGCUAGAAGCCUUUGCUGCUCGAUUGGAAGUCCUUGUACGUGAUGUUAAGGAACAGAAGCAGUCUUUGGAUAAAAUUCCUGCUUGGUUAAUGGGGUGGAACUCUCCUUGGAAGGGCAAACGUACAGGCGGAGAGUUGAUCAGCGAAGGAGAAGACGAGUUAUAUCAUCUUGGUAUCAGAGUCAGAGAACAGUUUCCCAGCCUGUUUAGUGAAGAAUACCACCCUGCUAUAUAUUCAAUCAAGACUACCCAGGUUGACAGUUAUUUUACUUUUUAAAAUCUGCAUACUGACUUACUGUCACGCAUGAAUAAAUCCAUCUCACAUUUAGUGUGUGUGUGUGUGGUGGUGGUGGUGGGUGGGGUGAGGGNNNNNNNNNNNNNNNNNNNNNNNNNNNNNNNNNNNNNNNNNNNNNNNNNNNNNNNNNNNNNNNNNNNNNNNNNNNNNNNNNNNNNNNNNNNNNNNNNNNNNNNNNNNNNNNNNNNNNNNNNNNNNNNNNNNNNNNNNNNNNNNNNNNNNNNNNNNNNNNNNNNNNNNNNNNNNNNNNNNNNNNNNNNNNNNNNNNNNNNNNNNNNNNNNNNNNNNNNNNNNNNNNNNNNNNNNNNNNNNNNNNNNNNNNNNNNNNNNNNNNNNNNNNNNNNNNNNNNNNNNNNNNNNNNNNNNNNNNNNNNNNNNNNNNNNNNNNNNNNNNNNNNNNNNNNNNNNNNNNNNNNNNNNNNNNNNNNNNNNNNNNNNNNNNNNNNNNNNNNNNNNNNNNNNNNNNNNNNNNNNNNNNNNNNNNNNNNNNNNNNNNNNNNNNNNNNNNNNNNNNNNNNNNNNNNNNNNNNNNNNNNNNNNNNNNNNNNNNNNNNNNNNNNNNNNNNNNNNNNNNNNNNNNNNNNNNNNNNNNNNNNNNNNNNNNNNNNNNNNNNNNNNNNNNNNNNNNNNNNNNNNNNNNNNNNNNNNNNNNNNNNNNNNNNNNNNNNNNNNNNNNNNNNNNNNNNNNNNNNNNNNNNNNNNNNNNNNNNNNNNNNNNNNNNNNNNNNNNNNNNNNNNNNNNNNNNNNNNNNNNNNNNNNNNNNNNNNNNNNNNNNNNNNNNNNNNGGUGGGGGGGACAGAUAUUUUACCUUUCAUUGCGGAAAAUUCUCGAAUCAUUGCAGUUAAUGGGAAUGGAAAAAAUUUGUCAACAUGAUAAUGUCGUUAAGGAGCCUUUACUUAUCAAAGGCUUAUAGUUAAGGAGCCAUUUAUUUUUUACUUAGUUAAUCAGGGAGAGCAAAAUCUGACUCGCAGUAAUAGCUAGAGGCCACUGGAUUCGAACUUCUAAUACCACAGUUUUGAAAACUGUGAUUCUGUGACUUGUACGUUGUUACUUCGUUAUGGUAUCUUUAUUUAUGGUGGAAAAUAUGUGCACACGUGUAUGACUAUGCAUCCACCAAAUAAACAAAUAGCAUGGAAAUCCUAUAGAAACUUUUUUGCAUCUGGAUGCCUUUCCCAAUAGAAGUGUCAGAAGAUUUUGUUAUAGCAUUGCCUCACAAUGCUUUGAGAAUCACACUCAACCAAAGCACAUGCUCAUUUUUUCAUUAAAUGAUGCAUCAAAGGAUUCUGCUGCUUUGGGAUCCUUGCAAGACUAUUGAACUUAUUGGCAUUGCCUUCUUCAUUAUAACUACAAGUCCUCUGAUUCUGUCGCUGCUUCUUGUUAACUCAUCACUAGCCAUGACUUUUGACAAUGAUAGUGACAUUAAUAGGUUCCUCGGGCAUCAGCUAGCGCUGUGGCAUUUGGCAUGGGUCUGUUUAGUGGAAAAGGGAAGCUUGGACCAGGAGGUUAUCGAGCUUUUGCUGUUACAAGUGAAAGCCGUGCAAGUGAUACAGUUUUGAGAUUUCAUGAUUGUUGUCAAAGCUACAAGGUAUGCUUGCAAAAUUUAUUUGGUGGCAGUCUUUAUGUAGCUUAAAUCAAAAUUAAUUUGCAGUUGGUAGGUUAUUGAGGUUUUCCUUAUUAAUUGAGACUUCAUUUUCUGAUGCAAGUACAUCAAACCUGGAAUCUAGUGCACUGAGAAACUCAGAAUACAAAAUAUUUCAGCUUCUAAAUUCAGAUUAAUUUGAUCAUGACCAUCAGAGGCCCAUUUUCUUAGCUGUUUUUUUUUUUUUUUUUUGCAUUUUGACUUCAAAAGGAGUGAAGUUGAUGAUGAUAAUCAGUCUGUUUGGGUCCCAGUCAUUGUUCACUGGCUAUUACAUAACUUUUAUUCAUACUAGUAACCCAGUCCCAAUCAUCUAUACUUCAGAUAAAUGCAAUCAACAUGAUCAUGCAUAGAGAGUGCUGACAUAUAGCAACAGAUUUUAAGUUCCUUAUUACUUUGCUAAGCCUAGUGGCAUUGUUGGAAUUUCAGCACUAAGAAUGGUUUUCAGCAGAAACUAGUGGUCUAUCUUUUCCAAUUGACAUGACCUUUUUCCUUAACCGACUAAGUUCCCAUCUCUUUGAAAUAAGCAGCACAUAAAUGAAAACUCUAGAGAAUGUCAACUUUGAUCAGACAUGCAUUUUUUGAGAAAAUACCUUUCUCUCAUUACAAUCAUUAUUUUGAGUGUACCCUCUACUAAACCUUGUUUUGAGCAUAUCCCCUUAUUAAUUCCUGUAGGAUCUCCUCUCUAGUUAAACUAGGCAACGACUAUCUGAGAUGGAAGAAGUAGAAAGGAAGAACCACGGGAAACAUCCUUUUCAUGAUAAAUAAGAACCAUGGCCUUUCUCAAAAUAAUAAAAACCAUGGGAAAGAUAACAGUGAAUCCUUAUCCAGAUUUUGAGCUGCUAGUUGUCCAAAGUGAUAUGAACAACUUAAAAAGUUCAUCCCUGGGAAUCACCAGGAGAUACUUGCCCAGUAUAAAGUGCAAUCUUGGCUUUGUUGAUAGAUAAAGUGCUACGACCUUAGGGUGUCUUACCAAUUUAAAAAUUGAAACAGGGAAGUCUUUAAGGGAAUAUUUAUGACUUAGGCGUCAGAUAUGUCCUAAUUCAGAUGGGUCAACGAGGUAUCUUGCAUCAAAGAUCUUGAAUAUUCAUUAUUUUCCUAAAUAGCACGUUGUGUAUCCGAACUUCCCUCUCCCAGCAUUUUUUGUUUCUCCUGCACCUGCUUGCCUUACUGCUGAUUUGGAUCCUUUCUCUAUAUGCAGAUACACACACUACUAUUUGAUUUGUGAGAUGACUUAGAAAGAUAGUUUACAUGACAGUUCUUUCUGGUGACAGGAUUUUAGGAAAAGUCAGGAACCAACUGUAAAGAAGCUCAAAGAACCUGUAUUAGAUGAAAUUACUCAUGAACUAGUGAAGCAAUACGGGCUUAAUUUUACAAAACAGGAUGUAUCUUCUCUAUGGUUUUUAUGCAAACAGGUUAGUAUUGCACUAGUGUUCCAGUGGUGCAAAACUAUCUUCAACAUUUUAUUUGUUUAUUUAGAUCUGAGGAUAGUAAUUUGUUUUUAAUUGACUGCUCCAACAGGAAGCUUCACUGUUGAACAUCACCAAUCAAGCUUGCAGUCUAUUCAGCCCAGCAGAGGUAUUUUGAGUUAAUCCCUUUUUCCAUGGUUCCUCAUGAACUUAAUAAACAGAAGGGAAAGUGAGCAGGGGCUUAUAUGUUCCUAGGUUUUGCUAGUCAAUUAGUUUUGGUUCCUGUGUUGUAAGGAGCUCUCCUUUGUUUUUCUUAGGUCAUAACUGGGAAAAUUGGGACGGGAUGCAUGAUUAAGCUAAUUUGAUUGAUGUUUGAUUAAAAGUAGUCAACCCCUAUUACAAUUUUUUUUUUCUGGUGUACAAAGUAUCUGCAUUUUGUCAUUGGCAUAGGAAUUUGAAGCCUUGUUGUUUCAAACCAUCCUUAUUGACAAGUUAUCAUUUAGGUUUCUUUGCUGGAAUGGGCCGACGAUUUGGAGUUAUUCAUACUAAAGGGCUAUGGUAAUUCACUAAAUUACCGAAUGGGAGUGCCGCUACUUGAGGAUGUAAUUCAAUCCAUGGAACAGGCAAUUAAGGCUAAAGAAGGUAAUGUCAAUUGAAGUAGCAUUAUCUCGUUUUGUUUUUUCCUUGGAGGGUUGCAGGGGUUCAGAUGGUUGUUCACUAUGGUCCAUUGAUAGCUUAUUUCCCUUACCUUCCUCAUACGACAAGAUUUAAGAGGAAGAAAUAAUUCGAAAAAAGUGAAGUGAACUCCUUAAUCCUUGGAGUUGUACUCAAUCAAAAAGAGUUGCUAGAGAUGGAGAGGAGAUUAUUCCUCUCCUUAUCAAAUGGAGGCCAAGUAGGGGAAGUAUUUCUCUUCUUGUAAAGAAAGACCAGGCCCACUUCGUUAUAUGUCAUAUAGAUCUCAUAUAACCUGCGAACUUAUAAAUUUUGUCCAUAUUCCAUUACUCUCUUAGUAAGCUGUCCUUUUCAAUUGCUAUCUAGGAGACUGUUAGAUAAGUGUAGGGAGUGGAGACUUUGUUGCACCAAUUACUUGAUUACCGUUAUUGUUAGUAAUGAGUAUCUUUUUUUCUCAAGAUCGUUUUUGUUUUGCCUAUUCAUAUCUUCUAUGGAAUUUAAUCUCUUUAGAGGUGGAAAUUUGAUAUCUGGUGCUCUUGUUUUAUGUGAUUUCUCCUCCAUUAGAAGGAUAUGCUCCCGGGAGCUAUGAAAAAGCAAGACUACGUUUUGCUCAUGCAGAAACUCUGCUUCCUUUUUCAUGCUUGAUCGGACUCUUUCUUGAAGAAUCUGGUGAGUGUUCAUACAAUAAGAUGGUUUUAAGCUCUACUACCUCCGGUUUCUUAAUCAAUUUUAUGCACUUGAAUGUUUCAGAAUUUGAACUAAUACAAAGAGAGCAGACAUUGCAAUACCCUCCUAAGCCUCCUAAAACAAGAAACUGGCGGGGAAAUAUGGUGGCACCUUUUGCUGGAAAUAACAUGCUAGUCCUUUACAGCUGUGUGUCAGACAACUCAAGCAAGUAUUUUGUUAAAGUGCUGCACAAUGAACGGCCCAUUCCAAUACCAGUAAGUUUUCUGAUUCCAGCAUCCGUGGUCCUUGCUUUGGGAUCAUACAUCAGUUAUUACCGGUCUUCAAGGUUCUCCCUUUACUUCUCAUUUUUAACUUCUGAAAAAGGACUCACCGGCUGUGAUGUCCUUACUUCCAACUUAAAAGAGGUUUUGCCAACAGUGAAGUUACAAAUUCAUGAAAGUUCUCUGAAGUUGCAACUUACUUUUUUGUCCCCGAACUAAUCCCAGGAAGUACACAAAUCUCACUAGUUUGUGCGGACAGCCCGCAAUAUACUCAUGUUUUAGUUUAGCAUUCUUUUUUUAGGGGUUCUUAGGAGUCACCACAUUUCAUGCAUUUUCUUCACUAACUUCUAAUUGGGAAUGAUGUCGCUUGUCAGGAUGAACACUCGCAAAAUGGCUACCUGUACCGCAAUGGGCACAAAUUUACAUCCACAAAUUUUUCUGCUGUCAAUUAUUAUUCUUCCUUUCUAAUCUUUUGAUGCUUCUAUUUCUGUAUGUUCAUAGGGUUGCAAUGGCUCAGAUUCUUGCCCAUUUGAAGUAUUUAAGGUACGACUUCUUACAUUUGACCAGAUGAUACAAUUUAGUGUGACGUCGACCAUCUCUUACAUGUCAUAAAUGCCUUCCUCCAGGAAAGAAUAGCUGCUCCUCACUUGAAACAUGACUACAGCGCUCUUUGCAAUGUGAAUUUGGAACAAAAAAAGGAUUCUGCCCCCGGUAUGUUCUCGCAAAUGUUUGGUUGGAUUUUCUCACCGAGGAAUGCUGAUACACCCGCCCAGAAGGUUGAGCUAUAACAUCUUUACACGGUUUCUUUCUUUUCGUUCACCGUGUGUUUUAUGAUCCUGAUUCAGCCAGCAACCAACAAGUGCCCUGGUGUGAGAUACAAUUUUGUUUGGAAAAUGUAUCUUGUAUUAUCAAGUUUUUUUUCUUUCUGGUGGCUGGUUUAACCAUAGGGUAGACAAAACGAGAAUUAAUACCUGUAGUUAUUACAUCUGCAAAUCUAUUGCUCAGUUUGUUUUUCUGCGUUUCGUAUGUUUUAUGUAUGACUGCUAAUGUUAAUGCAAAAUAACUGAGGAUAUUUUGGAGCCCAAAGAAUCUGCAGUCCACUAGUUUAUUAUUGGUUCAAGUACUUCUAUCCAAACACGUAACGAUUUAUCUAUAAAUUUAACUUCAAACACCUUAGUGUUCUUUUCAGAAUUUGGUGCUUAUCGACAACUUUGAAUCAACUCUUAACCAAGCACUUAGUUGGCGUACGACACAUCAUAUGUUAAUUAAUAAGCUUACUUGCACAAUUUUGCAGAUCUUGAAGAGUUAUAAUAAAAUGAGAGCAGCAGCUGCUAUGCAAACCAUUUACAAUAGCCUGCAGGUUUUGGAUUCUACCAAACAUUAUACUUAUCUAUGUAGUUUCUGAAGAUGUGGGAUUAUCUAAAUAACAUUAAAUCAGAAAUAAUGGGUAGUAUAAAAGAAUCAAGGGAUCGUAUAAUGUGUCAAGUAGGACAAGAGAACGAGUUACCAAAAUCUCGAGCUAACCUAACCAACCUGAGGUCUACCAAUUUGACCAUUUACAAGCCGGUAACCUCAUCACAACCACCCAUGGUUCCUGCAGAAUGCAAUUGCAUCACUCCCAUCAGACCAUUGUGAAACUUUGGACUAUCAAAUUGGAAUUGCAGGCAGAACCCCUAGUAUUCACAGGAGGCAAAUCUCUCUCAAGCUCCACGUGAUAAAAAGUUCUCUGUUGUUCUGCACAGCUGCCUUGAUUAACGAUGCCAGACUUUUCUUGACUGAUAAUAUCCGUGUUAUGAAUCUAUGUUAUGUAAUGUCGGAUGAAUAAGCUUUCCAUAGGUCUCAUUAUGGUGAGAACACAGGAAAGGCAUAUGUCAUGAGAUUCAUAGUCGAUGGUAAUUUGCCAUUUGGGUAAUGAGCAUUAGAAAUCAUCAGCCCUAUGAUUUUCUCUUCUGAAAUAAAUAUUACCAUCAUAUUUAGACCUUUGGCAAGGGCACUUCGGUAGACAGUGAAGAAAUGAGAUCUUCUCGUGAUUGGGAUCUCCUGCUCUGGAGACGUUGUUGGCUUCUGUGUGGUGACCAGAAGGAACCUGUGGUACUACUUUCAUAUUGCAUCUGCCCCAAGCUACCUGAUGAAAAACUGUGCGCUACACUACUAGACGAUGAGUAUAAGGAAGAUUCAGCAAGCUGGAUACCGUUGCCACCAAAACAAUGCACAGUGUCAAAUGGUCUCUGUUGAGUAUUAGCAAUUGUUGGACUGAGUGGCAUCUUCACUCUUCCUUCACCUGAAAAGACAAAAUUGGCACGAUCUAAGAAGGAUAUAAGAGAAAUAGUGCUGAUAGGAACUGCAGUAGAAGUUACAACAGAGAACUAUAUAGUGUUACAACCAUGGUGUCCUUUUUUCUACUUUUUUUUUUACCAAGCAAAGUUUCAAUAUUAAAUAACGAGACAGCAUCACAAGUGUGUAUUGAUAAACAUAACUCAACAACUGGUGUUAUCUUCUCACUUUAAUAUCAUAAUAUCACCACAAUCAUUACUUCUAGUUGCCAAAAGGUAAUCUUCUGAGUCAAUAUUAAUGGUUAAAUCAGAAUUGCUCCUUUAGAAGAUGACAUUAUAAUUUAUAUGGCAGCAAGAAAAGAUCAUAAGUUGAGGAAACUGGCUAUGAAAGAAGCAUAACAACUUCCAUUCAACUACACUACGUUGAAGUCCUAAUAUGACUAUUAGAUACUACAUUGAUCUGAAAUCUAGAUCCAUUACUAGCCCUCGAGCUGCAUUGACAACCGAUAAAGAAACGAUUGCUGUGUUGUUUGGUGUGACUUCAUAAGAAAAUUUGCUCUUUUUUUAAUUCAGUGAAACCAUCAUAUUUUCUCCAAAUUAGACUUCGAAAUGAAUACUAGUAAUAAAAAAGUACCAAGUUUUAGUAUAAAAAAUUUCCAAUAAACAGAUAAAAAUGGCACAGAGGUGAACAUGCAUAACAGCGUAAAGAUGUUUUUGAUUUGUGUAUAGCAUGCAAGCAAUAUUCCAGUCCAUAAAUAUUAUUAGUGCAUUAUCAGAUACCCCAAAGAGAUCAACUAUCAGAAGAAAAAGCAAUUAAAUUCUUUUUUUUUAAUUUCCCUAACGAAGGCAGCAUUCAACAUAUUCUAAACUAGAAUAGCACAGUACACAUGCUUUUCAGAAGAAAUUACCUGUUAUAACAGGACUCCACCGCUUGAAAUUGAAAGGUGCUGGAAUGUUGAUUAUAGAUGUGGAUGAAGCAUUAUUAUUCCUGAAAAGGGGAAGAUAUGCCCUACGGAAGAACCUGGGCAUCCACUUGCCAACACAUGAUAAUGUACAAAGAAGAACAGCUAAUGAAGCAAACAAAAUAGCAAAAACAACAGCUGGGUGCAUCUUCAUGAGCAAUAGCUUGUAACUAAUAAGUUCCGCCCCAGUUGAAACUGCCUUUCCAGCUUCCGACAGCGCAACACCUAGUGUCCAAGUAAUACUUCCGGAACCAAUGGUUACUUGACUAUCAGUAAUGUGCAAGCCUUCUCUCAGCAAAGAGACAAUAUAUGGUGCCCUGAAGCAAUACUGUUCUAUGAAAGGCUGAGGUGCAACACUAGUCUUUGCAACAUCCCAAGUCUUAUCACAAAAUUCCCGACCCUUUUCUAAUACAUCAUCCAGCGCAGCAUCAGGGGUCAAGUUGAAAAAACGAUAUACCACAAAGAAACCAGACAUAGCAUAGAACUGGCCAAAGGGACGAGGAAGAUUUUCUGCAAGAGCACAGGGCUGCAACUCACAAUCAAUUCCUGAACUUUUGUUAGACCAUUCAGACAAAUUAACAGCAAAUUUUGCAAGUGAACUGCAUUCUUCCCAUUUUGGGUCUCCAACCAGCUGAACGCGAACUCCGGGCUUUCCCUCUUUACUUGCAACUUCUCUCCCACUAGAAGGAUUGCCACCUUCUUGGUAUAGGGAAACACAAUGAGUACAGAUAUAUUGCUCCUUGUAACCAGAAUUCAGACAUGGAUGCUUGAUCUCAAUGUUUCCACUGGUGAGAUCUGCAUCACUGAUCUUGGGAAGCCUUUUGAGAAGUUGAACUACAGACUUGUCAAAAGCAUCAUUCAGGCCAUAUCCUUCUAAGGAAUAAGCAGUAAGAUGAUGAUUAACGGCGCCAAUAUUCAGUUCUAAACUAGUUUCGUCAGGGAGACUUUCCUUGCUCUCAAAAGUAACCUGCAGUGAUGAGCCGCCUAAGUCAAGUGCACCAAAUGUUCCCUUUUUAGGUUUUGCUCCCAAUAUACCAGUAUGAUAAUUCAUAGCUAUCCAUCCAAAAUAAGCUUCCUCCAUGCCCGUGAUAGUUUUGACCCAUUCCCUCUUGCAUAAAAAAGGAGAACUUUUCAGAAUGGACCAAGCAUUGUUAAGAAGCCAUUCCGAGUCUGAAUUUGGCAGCCUGCGGACCCCAGCCGUAGCAUGAAGAUAGAGAUAAGUAGUUUUAUGUGCAUGCCUAGGGAUUUGCUUUGCUGCCCAUUUUAUUAGUGGCUUGAUUGCUCUUUUCAAGCCAGACGUGUUGUGCACCAACUUGUCAAAUCCGGGUUCUGUCUCCAUUCUGUUAUAAGCCCGUCCACUCUGUAAUCUUGAGUUUCUUUGGAAACUCUCUGGAAGUGAUCUCAAUACAAUAGGGAGAUCGUUAUCUUUUACAUAGUUAGGGGAUGCUUGAUAUACAUAAACACGAGUCCCAGUGCUGCCACAAUCAAGCACAACAUAAUACUUUGAGUCUCUACUGAAUAAGUUAAAAUGGAAAAACAUCACAUAUAGGAGAAACGCAACCAAUAGCAAGCACAGGAGAACAAAGAUAACUCGCGUCCAUUUUGUUCGUGCAGAAGUGACUGUCGGUGUUCCCUUCACCUUGGAGAAGCUUGUACCCAAAUUUUCUCUCUUGAAAAGAUUCAGCCGUUUUAAAUUAGUUGAAUCCCUCUCUAUUUCAGGGUUAGGACCACCAUCUUCCAGAUCAAGGCGCCGGUAUGCAGAAAGAUCUUGAAGGGAGGAGGAAAGUCUCAACUUGUUCUUCUGAUCUAAGCUGGAAACAUUAAGUGAACCUGGAAGAGGUGGUAAUCCCGAUGAUGGAUAUGGACUGUUAGAUGUCUUUGGGGUCGAGAAACGAGCCACUGCAGCAGAAACAAUUUCUGUAACUUUGUUAAGCAGCAUCCUUGCAGAGAUUACAAGUUCUACGCAAAGUUACCCUUCACACCAGAGUUUUCUAGUCCAUUCUUCCAUUUGUACAUGAAAAGCUCAUUGACUAUCAUUAUACAGUAGAUAAGUCUUGUAAGCAUAGCAAAUGAUACACUAAUUGCACCUGUAAAGGAGAAGUACCCUGCAGGGAUUAUCCCAAAAGGAACAAGCAAAUAUUAAAAACAAAUCAAAAUCAUUUGAACAUGGUGUAAUAGUAAGGAGAACUAAAGAGGAGCUAAAACCAUAGAUAUCCAGAGGUCACUCUUCGGUCUAGCUAGAACAUGCUACAGUAUGACUUUAGUAAUUACGUUAGUAUGUACCCAAUGAAGUUCAUCAUACGUGAUGCAACUCAACUAAAGAUGAGAUGAGACAAAAAGAUCCAUCAUCAUAAAAGUACAUGCUUAGUUUAUAGUUAAUGCACUAAGUCACUAACACAGAAUGUUCUUAUGGAUAUUCCAGAAGUUCAAAUAUCAGUCAUAUUUAUGGUCUAUGGAUGUCACUGGCUUAACUCUACCUAUAUGACCUUUGCAUAGCCAGCCUCAUGUCCAAUUAAAAGGGGAAGGGUGAUGGUUAAUUGAUAACUAAUGUAUCAACAGCCAUGAUAUCAUGAAUCUUCCAAUUUUUUUGUUGUUUUAUAUAAUAGUGCGGAAUAGAUAUAAGAGGAGGAUUUAUAUACCCACCCCAACUAGUAUGGGACUAAGACUUGGUCAACUGAAAUAUCUCCACCUUCAUUCAUCCUAGAGUUUUACUCUAGAAUAUAAAAUAUUUUACGUAUACGGAGUUAUAAGAUAAUAAGCAUGCCACUACUGAUGGAUCAAAUGAAUUGAACAUACAAUACCACUCAUCACGUCAGUCGCAGGCUUCUUAUAGCAUACACAAGUUAAUAUUUACAUCAUUAUUCAAAUUCGCUCACUGAGACCCCAACCCCCACCCACCCCCUAAUCCAAAUGUAAUUCACAUUCUUUUCACCAAUUUACCGAGGCUAAACUUACAAGAGUUUUCAACACAUCCAACAAUCAACGGUAGCAGUAAAAAGUUACUCAAAAAGAAAGGAAAUCAAUUAGCACAUUCAAUUUUCAGUGUGAAUUCGGAUACUGAUCUCUUAAUCUGUUCGAAAUAAAAUUUAUACAUAUAUAUACUUCCUGAAAAUAGGAUAAUCACAAUUUUUUGUAGUUAAAAUGCCAUUAUUCUUUAGGACACAAUGAAGUGUGAAAAAAAAAUAUCAGCACUAGAAACUAUAUCUUCUGUAACAAUGAACAACUGAAAAUUCAAUCAGCACAUUCAAUUUUCAGUGUAAUCCAGAUACUGAUUCUUUCUUAAUCUGUUCAGAAAAAAAAUUAUACACGUAUGCAUAUGAUAGUAGAAUAAUCACAUUUUGUAGUGAAAAUGACAUUAACUAUUUUAGGCUAAUGAAGUUACAAGAAAAUCAGUAUUAGAUAAACUGUAAAUACAAUCAGCACAUUCAAUUUUCAGUGUAUAUCCGGUACUGAUUCCUUCUUAAUCUGUUCAAAACAAAAUUCAUACAAUUAUACACUGCAUGAGAGUAGGAUAAUCACAGUUUUUUGUAGUUAAAAUGCCAUUAUCAAGUUAUCCAGUAUUCAAUAACUAGAUCUUCCGUAACAAUGGACAACUGAAAAUUCAAUCAGUAUGAAUCCGAAUAUUAGUUUCUUAUACAUUAAUAUACUACAUAAAAGUACAGUACCUUAUGUAAAAAAAAAAAUACUACAUAAAAGUAGGACAAUCACAAUUUUUUUGUAGUUAAUAUGCAAUUAUUAUUAUUCUUUUAGGCGAACGGAGUACUGAAAUCCAGCAUUGGAUAAACUGAAAACUCAAUCAGCACAUUCAUUUUUCAGUGUAAAUCCAGAUACUGAUUCCUGAAUCUCUUCAAAACAAAAUUUAUACAAUUAUACACUACAUGACAGUAGAAUAAACACAGUUUUUUUUAAAGUUAAAAUGCCACUAUUUUUAUAGGCAAACGGAGUUACUAAAAAAUCAGCAUUAGAUAAACUGAAAUUCAAUCAACACAUUCAAUUUUCAGUGUAAAUCCAGAUACUGAUUCCUUAAUCUGUUCGAAUUUAUUUUUUUAUACAAUUAUACACUACAUGAGAGUAGAAUAACCACAGAUUUUUGUAGUUAAAAUGCCAUUAUUUUAUUUUUUUAGGCAAACGGAGUUACUAAAAAAUCAGCAUUAGAUAAACUGAAAAUUCAAUCAGCACAUUCAAUUUUCAGUGUAAAACCGGAUACUAAUUCCUUCUUAAUCUGUUCGAAACAAAAUCAUACAAUUAUACACUACAUGAGAGUAGAUCAAUCACAGUUUUUUUCCGUUGUUAAAAUGACAUAAACUCUUUAGUCGAACGGUGUUACAAAAAAUCAGCAUUCAAUAACUAGAUCUUCAACCAAAAUCACUAAAUCAUAGUAAUAAGCAAUCGCGAAAGUUACAAAUCCUUAAAUCAAAUCAAACCAGUAGAUAAAUUCACAAAAAUGCAUAUGAAAAUCAGUAAAAAUAACUCACGGAUCGGUGAAGAAGAAGAAAAACGUCGGUGCAGUAGAACGGAGUGUGAAUCGUUUUGCUGUGGCCUUCAGUUACGCCGAGAUCGUGAAGAAGAAGUGAAAAUGAAGCAGAUCUAAAUGGAGAUUAGAGAAGAAUUUAGCAACAAACUGAGUCUUCCGCGUUUGAACGACUCCACCAUCCUCUUCUUACUUCUUACCUUUCUCUCUCUAUUUCUCUCUCUACUGAAAGGGUCGUAAGUUUCACUAAGCACUACACCAAAAGUUCAAAUACAAUUUCAGUUUAUUAUAUUUUUCAUUUUUCAUAUGUAAAAUUAAAAAUAUAUAUAUGAAAAUCAAGCAUUUGGCCAUAAAAUUUUAAAAGUUAUUAUAUUGGAUAGUAUGUUUUAGGUAAAUUAAUUAAAUUGGUUGAUUUUUUCAGUUAUUAGAUUAGAAAAAAUAUAUUCAAUUUUUAAUAUUCUUCCAAAAAUGAUAAUCAAAUUCCCAACUUUUAAAAUUUCAAAUAAAAUGAAUAAUAUUAAAUUUUCGUGGUCAAAUAUGAAACACCUUCUUUGUUUCACAAAAAAAUUACUUUUAUCCCGUCUAAUUUUUUUUAUGAAAAUUGAUCUCUUUCUUAUUAUAAUAAGAAAAAAUGUUUCAUUCUUUUUAUUCAUCAUAAUAAAAUUUUGAUUCGAAUGUAUUUUUAAAAACCAUCACGAAAUGUCAAUAUCGAUGGGUAAUUUGAAUUUAUUUUCUACGAGAAAUUUAAACAUAUAGAUUUACAUAUUUCGAAAUAAAGUCUUUUAAUAAUAAAGGACUAAUAUAAUUCAUAUGAAACAAUUCGUAUAAAUUAACAAAAAAAAUGAAAUUCAGUAAUUUUAAAUAGUAUGAAGACAAAAUUGAGCAUUUCCUUUGUGUUAGUUAAGAAAAAAUAAUUAAAAUAGUAUGUGUUUGUUAGUUCACAUCAAUUGAUUUUGUUUUUAGUUAUUCCUGACUUACCUUUAAUAUCACAAAUUCAAGAUGAAUCGAUAAUUAGUCAUUGCUUCAAAUUUGAAGACAUCAAUUAUCUCAUCUUUCUCAAAUUCUCUAGUAAGAGUGAAGUAAUCGGAAAAAAUUCUCUCUCACAAUCAAUCCAAGAGUGUUUCCUAAUUCUCCCUAAUAUUAACUAUAUAAUUUGAAUCUCGAAAAAUAAAUAUCAAGAGACAAUUUGAGUCUACAAAAUGUCGUCGUUUCCGAAUUAGGCAAAAAUCCAUUACUUUUUUUUUUUUUUUUUUACAGAUAAGUCAUGCGUUUUGAAUUUGGCAGUUAGCAGUUUUGUCAGUUGUCUAUUUGGCCACUAGGCACUAAUCCAUUGCUUUAUGACGUUAAUUGUCAGUGUUUUGCCAAAAUUAAGGGAAAUAAUUCCAAAUUAGUGUAGUUAUCAUUUUAUAUUUUUUAAUGUUGCUAUUAAGUACUCCUACUAUUUAAUAUUUGGAAAAAUCUUUUUGACCAGAAAAUUUGGCCAAAAUUAUAUUUUAUCUAUGUUAUUUUACCUUUUUAAAUAUUUUUACCCUUUUAAUUUUAAUACCUUUUAACUAAAAAAAAUGAAAAAAAACAUCAAUUUAUUUUAUUUUUAAAAAAAAAUAAUUAAAUUUUCUGGCCAAAUAAUAUUUAAAACAUUUUUCAGGAUUCGUUUGGUUUGAAUUCAAGUUAUGAUGAGAUAAGUUAUGAUGAAAUUAGUUAUGAUGGGAUAAGUUAUACUAAGAUUAUUUUUUAUUGAGUGUUUGAUUUGUUGUAUUGAAAAUAAUAAAUCUUAAGAACAAUAUAUAUGUUUACAAAAAUAUCCUUCAUGAAUAUGAAAAGUAAUGUAUAAAAAGUGUUUAAAGGGAUAUUUUUGUCAUUUAGUCAUUUUAUGUCGGGAUUACUAUACCACCCAAGGGAAGGGACUCGGUACUAAUUAUUAAUCUCCGAAUAAGUUAUUCCGGACUUGCCAACCAAACAACAAAUUAAGUAACACUAUAAUUUAAUCCCAUGACUAUUUGAAGUUAUCCUUCACACCAAAGUAUUAAAUUUAAUAUAUUCAAAUAGUAAUAUAGCAAUGUUACUCCUAUUAUUUAUUAUUUCUUAAGGUGUGUACUCAGUGGCGGAUCUAGGAUUAAUAUAGUAAUGUUACUCGCGGAUCUAGGAUUCUAAGGUUGUCGGUACUUUGAAAGUGACGGAAUAAAAAAUGUAAAAAAAAAACAUAUUAAAUUCGAACCCAGGGUCAACAACACCAAAAGAGCCUUAAGCACCCACCAAGAGCUAAUGGACCUGUUAGAUCAUUUAUUCAUUAGGUGCUUUAUAUACUCACAAGUACCUCUUAAUUUCUACUUAGAUAUAUAUAUUUUGAGACGAGAUUAAUGGGUGCUAGAGCACCCGAUGAACUCUAUGUGGGUCCGUCCCUGUGUGUACCAAAUCAAUAGUGGACAGUUACAGUUGAACAGAAAGAGUAACACUUUGUUUGAAUUGCGCAUUGUAGGAUCCGUUCAAAAAUAGUAAAAUAAAAUAGUUUCACCACGACAUCACAAUCGAUGUUAGUCUCUUAGCUUUAUUUUACUGGAUCGAUCCUUCCCAGUAAAAUGCGGCAUGUUCGAAUUCUGAUCGCUUUUACGCGAGAAAGGACUUUGGUAAAAUUGGUAAGAACAUUAUAUUGUUUUGCCCUUUUCGUGAUGUGCGUGCUUAGCUUGUGGUAGCAAUAAUCGAUGAGCUCCACUUUUCUCAAAAGUGAAUUUUCCAUUUGUCAAAUUAAAAAGAAGUGGAACACAUUGAAAUACUUUUCAAUCUUUGUUGUUGGUGAUGUUAUAAUUGGACCGACACUCCAAGACACUGUUUAUUUUCUUAAAAAGAUAUAAUUAAAUUUAGAUUUGUACAUAAUGUUUAUUUUCGAGAAUCGAUGCUCUUAACACAAUUUUUUUCGUUCCCAAGAGCUUGAACCCAAGACUUUUACAAAAAGGUGGAGAAAUCUCAACUAUUCCAUUAUAAUUCAUAUUGUUGUUCUCUUUCUCUCUAACACCUAUCCGGUUGUUACUCAGUGUGUUUGUAUUGUUAGUUUAAAUACAAUAUUUGUUUUGAUUGUUACAUUAAUUUUAUAGUAUCGUAUCGUUUCGUUUAAAUCCAUCGUUGGGUAACAACGAAAAGUUCCAUUUUGUGUAACGACCGAUUUAGUGUGAUCAUGUCGUUACCUUAUUAUUUUAUCUUUACUUAUUAUUUAAUAAUCUUAUUGUAUACAACUUUACCUUACCUUCUUAUAGUAAUUCUACCUCCGUACUCUACUUUUCUUUUAUCAGUCAAAUUUUUUGUGUGUGAUAUUAUAUAACGAUAUAGAACGUACGAUCUAUAACAUAAUAUGAUAUAAUAAAAUAUAUUAUGAAAUAAUACGUAAUAACCAUCCAAACAUAAUUUAGUUUUGUCUACUCCAGUCCUUGACCGGGUAAUUGACUUUGUCCGAUUGCUCUCUUCGAAUUUAUAUAGCUAUGAAUUAUGAUCAUUAAAUUUUAAAAAAAUUUAAAUUCAUAAAAUAAUUUAGACUACAUCAACUUCAAGAUAAUAGUUCAAAAUAAUGUGGCCAUUCAAGUCAAAUAAAUGAAAUAAUAUAAUGUUAUGUAUGUAGAUGACAUGUUUUAGCUAAUGAAAAUUGGAGCUUGUCAUCAGAGAAAUAUGAUUAAUUAGUCAAUUUAAAUCGACUAAUCAAAUCACAUAUUCUUCUGUAAAAAUAUAAAUAUGGUCCUUGUAAGUUGUAACUCGUAAAAUGAUUGAAAUUAAGAACAAGAACCAAGAAAGAGCUUGUGGAUAUAUAAAAACCAAAUAUUUCUACAAAUUCAAGCAAUCAAGUUUUAAGUGUGAAAACGAAAGAAAAUCAACCAAAGUGUUCAAGAUCAAAUUACUUAUCGUAAACUCUAUAUUCAUUAUUUGUGGCAAUUAUUCAAGUGUUCCUGAGAAAUAAUUCAAAUUUAAGUUCAUAAUGGAGAUUCAAAAUCAAGCUACUCGUACUUUUGAAUCUAAAUCGAAUUCAAGUUCAACUUAUAAAGUUUAUAUUAUUAUUGAAAAAAUUAAGUAUUAUUAUAAAGAUUGGGACAUUCAUUAUACUUUGAAUCAAAUAUAUUAUUACAUUUGUCGCUCAAUUUUCAUGUCUUGAUGGAGUACUAUUUUUUUCGACUUGAAAUUUGUUGUUUAUAAUGACACCCUUUAUUUUUAAUCAAUCCUCUAAAAAUAUCAUAUUUAUAUAAAAUAUUCAAAAACAAUUAAUUUCAAAAUAAUCAUUCUAUUCAUAAGAUGAUUGACAUCUAUAAGACUACUAGACAUCGGAGCCCGUGCUAGCACGGGCCCAAUAUGUAUCAUUUUUUGUUUCAAUUUAUGUGACAAAGACAAAAUUAAAGAGUUAAUCAAACUUUAAUAUUAAUUUAAAAUAGUUUAAAUUUUUAAAUAUUGUUAACUAUGGUAAAAAAAAAUUGAUGUCUUUUAUAAUAAAAUUUCGAGAUUCAACAAUUUUUUUGUCUUUAAAAUAUUCUAUUGUUAAUUACUGUAAAUUAUUGUACUUUCUAAGUAAUUUUCAAAUAAUAUAUAUUAUUUCAUUUGUCCAAUUUAUGUGUCACCGAUAAAAUUUGAAGAGUUAAUCAGAUCUUUUACAUAUUUUUAUAUCUUUUGAAUAUUUAAGUAAAUAAUUAUUGUGAUUUAUAAUAUUUUAUACAAUUAUUUUUAAAAAAAUAAACAACAAACAAAACGAAUUCAUCAUAGGAAAAUUACCAAAGCAUCCUUCAAUACAUCAAUAAUGGGUCCCACUUUUUGUUUAAAAAAAUAUGCAUAUUGGGAGGAUAUUUUUGUCCUAAGUGGAAAUAGAAUAAGUAUAAAGCAUUAAAGUCUUUUAAAAUUUUAAAUUGUUAAUUCUUAUUGUAUGAUUUGUAAUACUUUUUCGUGAUUUUCAAAUAAUAGAGGUCAUUUCUUCUUUCUCAAUUUUUGUAGUACUAAAAAAUUUUUGAGAUUCAAUCAAUUUUUUUUGUCUUUGAAAUAUUUCUAGCUGUUAAUUACUGUAAUUUAUAGUACUUUCUAAGAAAUUUUCAAAUAAUAUAUAUUAUUUCAUUUGUCCCAAUUUAUGUGUCACCGGUAAAAUUUGAAGAGUCAAUCAGAUCUUUUAUAUAUUUUUAUAACUUUUGAAUAUUUAAGUAAAUAAUUAUUGUGAUUUAUAAUAUUUUAUACAAUUAUUUAAAAAAAAUUAAACAACAAACAAAACGAAUUCAUCAUAGGAAAAUUACCAAAGCAUCCUUCAAUACAUCAAUAAUGGGUCCCACUUUUUGUUUAAAAAAAUAUGCAUAUUGGGAGGAUAUUUUUGUCCAAAGUGGAAAUAUUGUGUAAAAAAUGUGUAUUUAUUGUGAUUUUGAAUGUUUUAUGGGGUAAUAGGACGCACACAAAGUUAAGGUGUCUUUUUGAAAAUCUAGGACAACUUCAAGUAUCACUUAAUGUUUUUUACUCCUUUUGGUUGAAAGCUAACAAGAUAGUUAUAAUGUAACUGAAUAGAUAUAAAAAUCUUUUUAAAUGAAGUACUCCUUUUGGUUGAAAGCUAACAAGAUAGUUACAAUGUAACUAAAUACUAUAAAAAUCUUUGCAUUGUAGCUUAUUAUAUAUAGAUAUCUCUGCAUUCUCUUUGCAUUCUAGCUUAUUAUAUAUAGAAUAACCUACUUUUGACCAUUUUCACUUUUUUUCUUUUUUCGAAUUCUUUGUUAUGCAUUUUCUUGAGCUGGAGGUCUAUUGGAGACAACCUAUGUACCUUCCAAGAUAGGAGUAAGGUCUGUGCGUACGCAUUACCUUUUUCCAGCCCCACAUGUGAAAUUUUACACUAGAUAUAUUAUUAUUGUAGCUUGUUUUAGACCACACAUUUCAAAAAUUUGCUCCUUUUCUAAAUUUCGUAUCCAAUAAAUAUAAUCACAUAAAUUGAAACAGAAAAAAAUACAAUAUUUUUUUACUUUAGAAUACACCAUUAUUCUUGUCCAUGAAAUUUCCUUCCUUCUAAGUUCAAUCAAUCCCCCUAAAAGACUUUUCUCCUUCAAUGCCAUUGGUAAACUUAUUUACAACUUCAUUAUUGUGGAAACUUAUGCAGAGCAUAAAAAUAAUAAAGUUUAAAAAAACAUUCUCUUGCCAGUUGAAUCUUUAUUAACUAACAUGUAUUAGUUAAAUUUAAUAAUUAGCCCGUCUAGCUCAGUUGGUAGAGCGCAAGGCUCUUAACCUUGUGGUCGUGGGUUCGAGCCCCACGGUGGGCGCAAUUUUUUCUUUUUUCCCCUUCACAUAAGGUAUUCAACGAAAAUGAUUGAACUUUCUAGUUUUUGGAAAUUGAUUUUUAUCUUUUACAUUGUUUUUUUUGUCCCGCUACUUGAUGAGAAUAACCUUGAAUUAUUGAACUUUCUAGUUUUUGAAAAUUGAUUUUUAUCCUUCACAUUGUUUUUUUUUUUGUCUCGCUACUUGAUGAGAAUAACCUUGAAUUAUAGUUGUGAGAGGACAUGUUUUUUAAGACUACUUUAUAUUCUUAGUUUUAGAAAUUAUUUUUUAUCCUUUGCAUUGUAUAUUUCUUUCUCUCGAUACUUAACAAGAAUAACCGUGAAUUACAGUGGUGAGAAGGUUAAAUUUUUUUAAGACCACUUUAUAGAAUUGAUGUAUAACAAUGAAGUCAUAACGAGCUAUUUGUAGAUGGAGAAUGAUUGCACAAGCGUGACGUGUGUAAUAGAAGGUUGUUCCUCUCGUGCAUAUGCGACACAUCUUAGACGUGGGACAUGUAUCAUGCUAACUCAUCAUGUGCAAUGACAAGUGUCGUAUGUGCUGACUGUCGUAUUAAUUCAUCAGGCGUGGUGACAAAAUCAUGCAUGCUUACAUGUAUGAUAUAUCAUGUUGAUCAAUUAUACUUGUGUAAUACGUAUUACGUUUCUCAGCCAAUUUUGUUGUACAUUUAUGUAUAGACACUUCCUAAUUAUGAAAAUAGCCACUUAAAUCUCCAUAUUCCAUCAAAGCGUAAAGUUACUUAAUUAUACUAGGAGUUAACUAACUUUCGAGACAACAAAAAAGAAAUUAAGGAAAAAACAAAAUUAAUUUUCUUAUUUGUAAAAGAUAAUUUAAUAACUUCCUAACAUAAAAAAAAAAUUAAAAAUGAAAAAAAUAACUAUUUAUGAAAUUAGUCGUCGGCAAGAUUGGAUUUAGUCAAGAGUGUUGCAGUGGCCAACCAUGCUCCAUACCUAUUGAGCCAGUCCACCUAAAUCAUUAUUUCUCACACAAGUGGGAGGUUGUAAAAAAAAAAGGGUAAAAAAGUCAAAUUUAUUUUUGAAAUAUGCGAAAUGGAACAAAUUUAUUCCGUGGUUAAUAAUUGGAGUCAAAUAUACCUUUAACGUUAUUAAAUGGGGUUAAAUUUGCCUUUAUUUUCAAAAGGCAGAAGAUUGAUAUUUGUAAUGUUGUAUAUUCAGCAAUUAAGAUUUAUCGUUUUAAACGAAAGUAAACUAAGCCUUUCACGUAAUUAUCAUCGAUGUAUAUUAGUUGAACUCAUUUUGAAAUAAUAAUAGUAAUACAAUACAAUAGGUAAAAAAAUUUCAAAUAAGAUGUAAACAUGAGAGUACAUGUUAGUUGUUACACACAAAUGGUAACAUUCAAAGUUCCCUUAUUCCAGCCACCACAGAUUCUCUUGUCAGCUGAUAAAUUCUUCCCAUGGCCCAUGGGCUCCAUCCCUCUUUGUCUUUUUCCCUUUUUUUUUUCAACAACAUAUUUAAUAAAAUUCUACCAGUCGAGUUUGAUGAGUGUACAUAAAUUUUAUCAUUAUCUUAUAGAAUAGAGAGGUUGUUUUCGAAAAAUGAAUCAAGUAUCUCAAAUCUAAAUACAAAAAAGAAUAAAACAAUGUAGAAUAGUUGUUCGAAAUUGAUAAUUCGAAUCGAACAAUAGUUAUUGAUUUAUCGAUAAUACGUUAUUGGUUUAAUGAUUUCAAUAACAUUUUUUAAAAAUUAUUAUUGGGUUAUCAAUUCUUUACAAAUUGAGAUUUUUUCUUAAUGUGUUAACUGAUAACUCGAUAGUAAAUAAAAUAAUUAUAUUUAUAUCAUUUUGUAUAUGAAGUCAUUGACUUAAGGUUUAGUUUCAUACUUUUAUUUCAGGGAGUCUCAAACUUUUGAUUACUCUACAAUGUGAUUGUAAGUCUACAAAUAGAUAACCAAUAAUCAAAUCGAUAAACUUCAAAAUCGAGCUGAAUCGGAAAAAUAUAGCAACUAACACGAUAACACAAAGAAUCAUAAGCCUACAAGUUCACACCUUUUUUUUUUAAACUAUAAUUCAAAAACAUUAGUAAUGGAGUAGUACUAUUUUUUUAAAUCAAUUUUUUGACUGAUAGAUACUUCUUUCACCUCUGUUUUCUCGACAGAUCUCACUACAAAAAUCUCCAUUAUUGUUCUCUGAUCUCUCCCAAGAACCCAGAAAAAUGGCCAUAUCAUCAAUGAAAAACCUCUUCAAAGAACGCAAAAUCCCAUUUUUGUUCUCCUUUUUCCUUUUACUAAUCUUCGUCACUUUCAUCCUCAUAUCAAACUCACAAAAAUCCCCUGUUUUCAUAGCCACCGACAUUUCUCAGCACCAUUCUGAGACACCCAUUUCUUCAAAUCCGAUAAUUUCACAAACCCAAUUGAAUCCAAUCACUAAGGAUUCAAACCCAUCUGAGGAUUUUGGAUUGAACGAUACGAAAAACGAUGAAUUGGGUGUGGAGAAUUUUGAUUGGAAGCUGUGUAAAGGUGCAGUUGCAGUUGAUUAUAUACCUUGUCUUGAUAAUUCGGAGGCUAUAAAAGCGCUGAAAUCGAGGAGGCAUAUGGAGCAUAGAGAGAGGCAUUGUCCUGACCCAAGUCCUAGGUGUUUAAUUCCACUGCCUGAUGGGUAUAAACUGCCAGUUCCAUGGCCUAAGAGUAGGGACAUGGUGAGAUUGAUAGGUUUUUUUGGUGGUAAGAUUUGUUUUCUAAUUUUGUUUUAACUGUGGCAUGGUAUACUGUUUUUAUUUCCUUUUUGAUAGAGUUACUCGGUAUUUGUGCUUGUGGGAGGUAACAGGUAGCGUCGUGGCAUUAGUGAGCUGCGCACAAGCUGGCCUGGACACCACUGUUAUAAGAAAAAGCAAUUGUUAGUUCAGUAAUGCCAAAAGGCAACCUAUUACCUGUUACCUCCGUGCAAGCUGGCUUGGACACCAGUGUUAUAAGAAAAAGCAAUUGUUAGUUCAGUGGGAGCUGGAUCUUAUAGUGGUUAUAGCUGUUAGUUCAGGUAUAGUACGGGUUGUAUAUAGAGAUGUGAGAAGUUUAGCUUUCGCUAAGGACUGACUGUCCUGUUACUAGUGCUUUAAUUUUGGUGGUGAUACCCGAGAGUAGGGGAGAACCUAGGAUUUCAAGAAGAUGGGUGCAAUAUCAUGAUAGGCGGAUCCACAAUUUAAAUUUGAUGGGUUCAACCAUUACGUUCUUACUGUUGAACCUAUUACACUUAUGAAAUUAUAGGUUUAUUUUUUAAAAAAAAGACAUUUUUUAGUGAUUUUUCACAUAUAUAUGUAUAUUCCAUGUUGAAAUGUUGGCUUUAGUUGAACCGUUGUCUAUAUGCUACAUCCUCCGCUGCUACUAGAUUUAAUAUAAACAUUUAAUUUAAUUAUAUAAAGUUUUAUGAUUACAAAAGGAGAACAGAUAUUUCAAUAUGUUUGAUUUGGAUUUGAAAGAAUAAGCCAAGUAUAAAGAUGAGAAAUAGAAGAAAAUACGUACUUAAAACACAAGAUAAACCCGAAUUGAACCUUCAAACUCAAUCGUACAGGUCCACUCAACAACCAUUUCACCAUAUGACACUUUAAGGUUUAAGCUUAGGCUUGCACAUCUAUAUUUAAGUAGUAUGGAAUAUGGAUGCAUGUGAAACCACACCCCUCCCCUGGAUACCUCCCUGCACUAGUGCUCUUGUUAGUGUUAGCACUCUGAUUGUCAAAAGCAUUAUUUUACUUCUAGGCAGCUGUUGCUGUAUUAGUCUUUCCUUACCUGCACAUUUAUAGAGAAAAAGAUUGGACAUUCAUGGCUGCAUAAAUUGUUCUGCAUCCAUUUAGUGGAUGGAUAACAUGGUCCGUGAAUGGAUCAUCAGUUGCAGUUAUUUUUAAUCGUCCAAAAAGCAAUAUUUUUCCCUAUUUUUUCUCUUGUGAAAUGAGACUAUCAGAAAGGCAUGAACAUGGCUGGGACCAUUUUAUCAACUAUUCAGAGUGCUCACAGGUACCAUAGUGUUUUAGAACAACCAUUCUACUAUUCAUUGGGUGACAGCGAUUAUAAAUUUGUGCAAUAUCUGAUGGGCAAAUAUAGUUUGCCAGUAAAAUCUUUGGUAGUGAAGCGCCUUAUUGGCUUCAAAUGUACUCUCAUGGCUUAUUGUAACCUACAAGUUUCCCGUCAUUUCACUUUGACUUCUGGGCAUUAUAGGUUCAAAUACUUAUCGAUUUACAUGUUGCAAUUCUCUGAUGAAUUUGAUGUGGAGUUUAUCCAAAAAGCAUCAUGUUCAAUUUACUCAUAUAUUUUGCUCGACUUGUCAAAAUAUACCUUUGCAGUAACUGAUUCUUUGUUUAUUUUAACUUUGGAUAGAUAUGGUAUAACAGCGUUCCUCAUCCUAAGCUUGUCGAAUAUAAGAAGGACCAGAAUUGGGUGGUCAAAUCUGGUGAUUAUCUUGUUUUUCCUGGUGGUGGAACACAGUUCAAGGAUGGAGUGACUAACUAUAUCGAGUCAAUUGAAAAGGUAGUGUCUCUACUUUACAUUCAUGUUGUCCUUAAUCACAUCAAGCUACAUUAUUUUAUUAUACAAUAUAUGUUUGGACUGCUGUUAAACUUUGUUGGAUUUCAUACUUUUCCAAGUUCGUUGCUUUUGUCAAUUGAAUAAAAUUGUAAUUCUGGCCAUACAUUUGUGAAAUGCUACUGUUUGGAUGCCGUGACCACUUUUGAUGCAUAACGUUUUUUUUUUGUCUCUAUAAAUUGUUCUGUGACCAUUUCAAAGGGAUAGAUUAUCAGUAUAAAUCCAUUUUCUAGUGACGAAGUUAGGACUGGUCAACUUUGAUGAACAUCAUAUUGCAUGUCAUGAGUUUUUCAUAUGAACCUUUACACAUGACUCAAAGAAGCUUCAAACUCCUUGCUCCUUCGACCAGUUGUACUGUAAAAUAAAAUGCAGGUGAAUCCUUGAUAUGAUAAUUUAGAUUAUAAUUGAUACUUCUCUGUGAUUUUCAAGUAACCAUUCUAUAAGAAAAAAGUUACUUUUAUGUAAUCAAAAGCCAAAGGCUUUUAGAUAGAAGCCAAGGGUUAUACAUGUUCAUACACAGUUAUUCCAUACUAGGCCAAUGGGCAUAGAAUUUCUCAAGAUAUCUGAUAGAGAAAUUUGUAGCAUUAAUUAUUACAUAAAGAAAGUGAUACGACCCAUAAUCAAUUUAAAUGCGUAUUCUCCAAGUUAUCUGAUCAUGUUGAAUUUGUUUUAUAAGAUAUUCGUACACGGCUACACGCACUAACACCUUAUUAUUUUCAUUUUCAUUCACGUUUUUUUAUGUUGCCUGCUUAGGGAUUAGUGGCUAAGAAAAGAGUAAUUUGAAAUUGAAAUUCUUUGAGGUGAGGUCUUGGGCUUCUUAAGUGUGCAGCAAGUAUACUGGAAGAAGCAGUAGUACUAUUUCGUUAAUUUCCAUUGUUCUUUAACAUUGUCCUUUCUUUUCUUCUUUCAAUUGCUUUCGUAGGGGAGAGGUUAUUUCGUCAUCUUUCAUUUGUUCUGCAGUCAUUAUGUUGGGAAUUUGGGAUGAUCCCUGGAGCCCUACUGGUACUGAUUGUAUUUUUAAGCUGAGAUGUUUCUUACUUUUUCAUUCAGACUUUUCCAGAAAUUGACUGGGGAAAGCAUAUAAGGGUCAUUUUAGAUGUUGGCUGCGGUGUUGCUAGCUUUGGUGGGUAUUUGCUGGAUAAAAAUGUCAUUACCGUGUCACUUGCACCAAAGGAUGAACAUGAGGCUCAGAUACAGUUUGCACUCGAGCGUGGAAUUCCUGCUACUCUCUCAGUCAUUGGAACUCAAAAGCUGGCAUUUCCAGAUAAUGCAUAUGAUAUGAUUCAUUGUGCAAGAUGCAGGGUUCAUUGGGAUGGAGAUGGUAGUUCACUAUUUUCAAAUUUCCAACAUCAUCAUAUAUACUGUUUUAAACUCGGUAAUUCAAUCUGAAAUUGCAGGAGGGAAACCAUUGAUGGAACUUAACAGGAUACUUAGGCCUGGAGGGUUUUUCGUAUGGUCAGCAACGCCCGUUUAUCGAGAUGACGAAAGAGAUAAGAAAGUCUGGAAAGGUUUUUACUUGUGGAUACUCAGUUCUCCGAAUUGAAAUUCUUAUAAGUUUUUACUUAAUGAUCAGCUUCAAUCUGAAUGCUGAUUAGGCAUAGUACUGGAAUUUUGUACCUUUGUUCUGUUUGCGAUCACUGAAUUUUAUUCUACAAACUCUGUGAAGACCAAGAAAAUACAGAGCUUAAAAGUGAAGCUUCUUGAAGUGAGUUAUUCAUUAUCUCUAAGUGGCACUUUACUUUCUUUCCAUUUGCAGCUAUGGUUGCACUAACUGAAGCAAUAUGCUGGAAGGUGGUGAAGAAGACCUUUUUUGACUCAGCUGGUGUCGGGCUUGUUAUAUAUCAAAAGCCGGUUUCUUCAUCCUGCUAUGAGAACCGCAGAGAAAAUAAUCCACCUCUAUGUGACCAGAACAAUAGAUCAAAUAGUUCAUGGUAUGCUCAAUACACCUUGAUGGUCUUUAUCAUUGUAUCCUUGACUUCAUCACAUUGUCAUCAUUCCGCUCCAAUCAUCUCUUUUAUAUCAUACGAGCAGGUAUGCGUCUCUGGACAGCUGCCUUGUACCACUCCCCACGAGCAGCAGUGGCAAUACAUAUGAGUGGCCUGCACCCUGGCCCCAGAGGCUCAACAAUAAACCUGAACGCUUAUCCCAAAAAACAGAUAAUGAAGAUAUUUUUGAUGAGGACACAAAACACUGGGCAGCGUUGGUCUCAGAUGUUUACCUUGGAGGCCUUUCUAUUAAUUGGUCAAGUGUGAGGAACGUGAUGGACAUGAAUGCUGGUUAUGGAGGGUAAGAGAGAAACUACAGUGGAGACGCGCAUUGUCAUUCAAACUUUAUUUUCUCUGUUGACCUAACUUGGUGACUUUCCAUGGUAAUUACAUUUACAGGUUUGCCUCGGCAAUCAUUGAUCGACCCCUCUGGGUAAUGAAUGUCGUUCCCAUCAGUGAGCCAGAUACUCUCUCCAUUAUCUUUGACAGAGGGCUGAUUGGUAUAUACCACGACUGGUGCGAGUCCUUCAAUACCUAUCCUCGGACAUAUGAUCUUCUACAUUCCAGCUUCCACUUCGGAAAUUUAACUCAAAGGUUCAAUACCUACUUUCUCAGAUUAAUUUGUUCAUUGUGGUUUCUUACCUAGUAUUCAGUACCCUUUUUGGGUUAUUGACUAAUCCAGAUUCACGCCAUGUAUGGCGAAUUAAAGGGUGGAACUGCUGCUUAACAGAACUUUUUUCAUUCUUAGAGCCUAAACUUGAGACUUUUGGUUAAGAAUGGAGGGAUCCUAUCCAUCCCACCAUAACCCUAGUCGAGUAGUCGUAGCUACUGUGGUUUCAUUUGUAUCCUAUAUUUUCUCACGAGACGAACUUUUUUGUCUGUCUGUUUUCGCAGAUGCGACGUGGUGGAAGUAGUUGUGGAGAUGGAUAGAAUAGUGAGACCAGGUGGAUAUGUUUUAGUUCAAGACACAAUGCCAAUGCUUAACAAGCUUAGCUCAAUUCUUCAAUCACUUCAUUGGUCAGUAAAUCUGCAGCAAGAACAGUUUCUUGUUGCUAAAAAAGGCUUUUGGCGUCCACAUGACAAAGUCAGAAAGUGAAAUUCACAGCCUCUUUUUCCUUGUAUAUUUAUUUAUAUAUAUUACACUUAUUUCUCUCUUUUAUGCCUACAAAAGAAGAAAAAAUGAACUUAGUUCUCCAAUUGAAGCAAAUUUUGUUCUUAUGUAUCACUAGAAUUCAUUCUUUUUUACAAGUGUUUGUUUGAAAAUAUGCACAAGUUGAGUUUGCAUCCUCUAUCUGUUUGAGUUGCUUUUAUUUAUUUUUUUCAAAAGAAGAAGUUAGUGUUUGUUUUUUGAGAUAUUCGAAUUUAGUUUGUGCAAAACCUUUCAGAAACUCGAUUUUCGCAGUUUAUAGGGGUAAAAUUUACAAAUAGUCACUUUUCCACACUUGAAAUUGUAAAAUAACCAUUGUCGUGAACACAUUUGCCCUAUUUUGUUCUGGUCUUUAAAUUUUACUCCCGAAGACCUAAUUUUUUUUGUAUCAUAAUAUCUCAAAAGGUAUGUUUUGCUCUAUUAAGAUCAAUCCAUUGGAAAGCAAGCAAUUUGAUUAAUUUAUUUUUUCUUGUAUCGACAAAUUCUUCUCUAUUUUAUUAAACAAAUCAGUCAUACUCCUAUAUUUUUAUAAUAAUAGAACUAUACAAAUAGACUAAAUAUUCAAUUUGUCAUCAUGGACUUUUCAUUUAAAAAAAUUUAGUAAAUUGACCAAUCUAAUCUACCAUUUACUUUAUUUGCCCCAUUGUCGAAGUGUUACGCAUGUAUAAAUAUACUUAAGACUUUUCCUAAGGGUCCAUGCAUGCAUCAAACAUCAUCAUAGAAGUCGAAAGGUAAUUUAAGUUUUAUGUAUUCAUGUCGUAAAAAAAUAUUUACAUAAUCACGUCAGAUAAAUAUACUUAUAUGUAACUUUAUUUAAUAAGUAUAUAGUGGUAACAUAUAUUCAUCUAAUAACAAUUAAAUAACUUAUCAUAACAUGUUUAAUUACACUGAUAACAUUAAUUUAGGCUUCUCGCGAAUUAGUUGAAUUCAAAGGAGAAAAUGGGCGUUUGGCAUAGUUCUUUGGCCGGUUAUAUUUAUAGAAAACUUAAAGUUUUGUGCAUUGACAUUGAUGUACAAAAUAAUUAUUAAUCAAGUAAUUUGUUAUUUUUCUUGAUAAAUAUUAAUUGAUAAUCUGAUAAAAAUAAUAACUAUCUACUAUCACAUGUUAAACUACACCAAUAAUGUAAAUAACAAUCUCUAACCAUCCGGGGCGAAUGGUGUGUUGUGAUAUUGAAUUAAUAUGAAUCCAGUAAUUUUGAUAUGAAGUAUUGAUUUAUACGUAAUAAUGCACUGAAAUUUUAAUAAAUAGGUCUGAACACAUAAUUUUGAAAAUACGAGUUUAAAUCCUAAAUUUGUCUCGGCGCUAUCUAAUUCCUAUUCGUUAUUAAUAAACAGAUAAGUCAACUCCUUCAACUAUAUUUAUAUCAAUGUGAUUAUAAACUUGAGAAAAUGGUCAUCACGUUAAUCAAUCUAAGGAUAUAUGGGCCUUCAACUCUAACAAACCCAAUAGUGGCCUUCACGUUAUUAAUCAACAAAAAAUGUCAAAAUUCCAUAGCAAUAACAACUAUAUAUACAUAGGAAUAAUCAUUUCAAAUGUCAUUAACAUCAUCAAGAAAUUAAUUUCACACAAGAUAUGGCUAUUAAAAUCCAAGUUAUCGUAUUCGUAUCGUCACUCCUUCUAGCAUUCGGGUAUGGUCAUGGCCCGGCCCAGCCCGUUGAGACGACUGUGGUGAUUGAAGGCAUGGUGUACUGUCAAAGUUGUGAUACUUAUGGAUCAUGGUCAUUAUUAGGGGCAAAGCCAAUUGCAUCUGCUAAAAUUAGUGUCAUAUGCAAAAACUACCAGAAAAGAGUGAAUUUUUACAAGGCAUUUGAGACAAAUGAAUAUGGUUAUUUUUAUGCAGAGUUGCAAGGUUAUAAAAUGGGACAUUCUUAUCUUGAUCAUCCACUUCAAUCUUGUCAUGUGAAAUUGGUCAAUUCUCCUCAAGAAAAAUGCAAUGUUUUUAGUAAUAUUAAUUAUGGAAUCAAUGGUGCACCACUAAGAUUUGAUGAUAAAGUUAUUGAUAGAAGUGAUUAUAAAGCUGUAAUUUAUACUGCUGGUCCUUUGGCUUUUCGACCAACAGACUGCCCUCCAAAAUAAGUUGGUGCCGUGGAAUCAAUCGUCAUAUAUCACAUUCUUUUCUUUUGGUUGUAGCCUUAACUCUGCAAAUGCAGGAUGCUUAAUACAACAACUGUUCUAAUUAAGUUUGUUAUGGUUUUGAUAACUUUUCAAUGGUCCGAUAAUUUUUUACAAGAGUCUCUAGUGCUAUAAUUUUGUCCUGUAUACCUAAAACCUCAACUGUAUGAUAUUUGUUCUUAUGACUUUUGUCCGAUGUGCCAACCUUAGCUUUUUCCACAUUCAUUGAGAAGAACAAUAAAUACAAGGUAUAAUAAUAAAUCUCACAUUCAUUAAGAAUUUAGUAAUAUUAAAGAACUACUACUUUAAUGUUAAAGGUAUAUGUCACUCCCCGAGCCUACACCCUGGGUGGGACCAGCACUCGAAGACCAUUGCUGGCCCCAAGCGAACCCUUGACCUGGCUUUCUUAACUCAGCGGAAACCUAACUCAACAGAAUAACUCCAUGCAAUGAAAGGUCAUAAAACAACCUAACUGAUAAAAUCUAGCCAAAGAGGCAACUCGUGUCUCAAAAUAGAAUAUUUAUAUAUAUACAUAGAUGAGAGACUCAAUACUAACUGACUGACUGUCUAUGAAGCCUCUAAAAUACUGAGAUGGAUGUUGGGACAGACCCCGCAACAUCCUAAUAAAGCAAAACUAGGAAAACGAAAUAACAGAGUCCUCCGGAAUGCAAUGAGGCUCACCACUGACUCUGGAGUGCUCAACUGGAUCAACGGCGUGCUGGAUGCUGAUCCUGGGUACCUGCGUCUGCAUCAUAAAAAUAUAGCACGUUCCCUCUCAAAGUCUACUUGUGCAAUGUAUGAAUGAAGUCCCAUACCCCCAUUCAUACUAAGCAGAACCCUUUGAGGAACCAUGCAAUUUCUACUGUGGGAGUUUCUCUANNNNNNNNNNNNNNNNNNNNNNNNNNNNNNNGUUAAGUCCCAUGUUGGCUACAUGGUUCUUAUGGAGAGUUGAGUUAAUAUGAACUCGUGUCCCCAAUUCGGUGCUCAAGACUACUCCCAAAAUAUACUUAGCUCAUAGGCUUUAAAAACAAACUUCUUUCUUUAGUUUGAGAUAAUUACUCAAAACUUGACUUAAAAUCUUUCUUGAAAUCGUUGCUCCCUUGCUUGCUCAAAUGUGAAAACAUUUAUAAACUUCUUUAGGAAUACUUAGUUCCCUAAUAACUUUUGAGAAAUGAACUCAACUUUAUACUCUUGGCUUAACUUGAAACUUGAGCCUUAAAACGAAAUUAAAACGUUUAAUAAAGACUCUUGAAAACUUUAAAAACUUCCUUCUUAACUUCUAGACUUGACUCUUAACUUCACUUGACUUGGAUCCUAACUUUCCUUGAAUUGGGUUAUGGAUUCAAGGUGCAUGAUCACAUGUUUAUGGAUGAGUUUGUGAUGUCUAGAUGUACCUUAAAGUGUUGAAAACAACUAUAAAACAUAAGUACAUUACCAAGGAACAUGUAUGAAGUGGGGAAUGAAUGGGAAGGAUUGGUGUCCUUGGCGCUCUGAGAGGCGCGGGGCGCCAGCCCUCAGAUUUCAGAGGGGCUGCUGGGGCGCUCUGCAUGGCGCGCUGGUUGGCGCGACGCCCCACCCUUUUUUCCCGAAAAACGACUUUCUUCCUUAGUUUCUCCAACUCUAAACCCUCUCAACAACAAAGAUUCUUUCCCCAAACACUCAUAAUCAUUAAAACCCUCAACAUACAAUAGAUUCAACUCGAAAUCACACCCGGAAACCCGUACUAAACUAACAAGAAACUUCAACAACACACCCACAAGACUUCAACAACCACAACCCAUCUUUUCUCGGAAUUAAAACAAGUUUGGCGUGUGGGGGAUCACAUACCUUAAUAGGGAUCACCCCGACGAAAUCCACGACGAUCUCUACGAACCUUACUUCUUCUUCUCCUUCUCCUCUUCUUCUCCUCUUCUCUCUCAAAGCCCUAACCCUCACUUUUUGAAAGGGAAAGCUGAUUUAAAAUCAGUCUAGACCCUUAAUAUAACCAAAAGAAAUGGUUAGGGAAAAGACCAAAAUACCCUUAGAAAUUCGGACAGAACUGCCCCUAAGCCAACAGCCCAACUUCCAGAGGGCAUAAUUCACUCAUACAAACUCGGAAUCGCGCAAACUUGGCGGCGUUGGAAAGAUCAUUCCAAGAGCUUUCCAAACAUAACUGGAAAUACUCCUAACUCAUCCUGAGCUAGGAGUUAUGACCAUUUGAAGUUGACCAAAAACUCACAUUUUUUUCCAUACUUAUCACUAAAUUUCCAGAUUUUGAAUUCUUUCCAAAAAUGACUAUUUCCAAUUUUUAAGCUUCUUCAUAGUUAUUUCAAAUUGCAAGAUGUCACAAUAUAGUUUAAAAUAACUGUCAACUUUAAUAUACUUUAGUAGAUAUAUAAGGUACUCCUAUGAUUUACUAUAAUACCUUUAUUUAUUAGGUCUAUUUGAAGAAUUUAACAGUACUAAAAUAACUACUAUUUCAUUAAUAUUAAGGAUAUAACAGAAAACGAUUGUCAACUUUAAUCUCAGAGUUUGUUUUGGGGCAAAAUUUUUUAACUUAAACAACAGCUAAAAUACAAGGUUAGCUGAAAGUAACACAAAAAUCUGGCUUGCCCUAUAUAUCUUCUUAAGAAAAAGUUUUAUUUCUUCUAGUCCAAGCAAAAAGCAAAGACGCAGUAGUCCUUUGUACUAUCAUUAACCCUAAUAAUUUAGAGCAUACAGUUUCUCCUUCUAGAUAUAUGUAACACUGACACUAACCCAUAGUUAUCAGAAGUAAUUACUCAAUUAUGAAAAUAAUAACUGCUCACUCUUCGAAAAAAUAUCAGCUGCAAAUUUACAUUUUACAGAACUUCUGCAACUUGAUCUGUUGUAAUUAAUACUGAUUUUCAUAGCAUUUCAUCGUUCAGGUGAUAGAGGUAAGUUAAUCAAAAUGACCAUAUAACAUCUUUAUAGACGUAGUCAAAUAUAUCUUUCAUCUUUUUAUACAAUUAGUGAAGAGAAAUAAUACUCACUCAGUUUAGUCAGCCACUAAAUUUCGUCACAGAUCAAAUAGAAAACAAGCACAAUACUUUCAUUUACAGCAACUGGUGAUAACAUACUAAAGAAAGCAUUCAACAUGAUUUUAUCCAAAAGCAUACCUGGAAAAAUUACAACAAUUGAAAACUGGAAAAAAUUAAACACCAACCCCAGAAAAACCAGUUAAAGCAAUAUAAUGCAUCUUUACAUAGUUGUCUACAAAAUAUCCUCAACUUGGUGCCUAACUGCAAAAAAUGCCUUUUCUAAAAGAAUAUUACAAGGAGAUAUCAACACACUAUGACACACAACAGAAACAAUUAUUUCUCAUAGUCUCCACUUGUGCCCUCCUCUUCAGCAACUAACUGCAAGGUACUGGAGAAAGAACAGAGGGGAAGACUAAAUAAAAUAAAAUUUAAAAAGCCCGAUUGUGUCCUUUCUUCAUAAUGCUUUGUUUACACCAGUGGGGUAACACCGUCAGAUUAGUAGGAACCCAUUGGUGGCAUGCCAAAUGGAGGCAUUGGAGGCAUUCCCAUUCCACCCAUAUGAGGUGGUGGCGGCGGAGCAAAACCUCCACCCAUACCAGCACCUCCCAUACCUGGCAUUGGCGGAGCAGGCAAAGCCAGAGGAAGCAGCUGAGCAUACAUAUUCUGC